UUACCCUUGAUACUUGGGAGUCUCCAAGGUCUAGAAAAAAAGGAGAGAGAAGCAAAGAAAUUGGUAUCACUGCGUUACCAGUCAGAUCCGAGCUCCAAAGAAUCCGUCCACAUCCUCUAUCCUCAGCAAUCCAAAAGAAAAGAGAAAGAAAGCUCAAACCUUUCUGUAGCAUGUUAAGAUCCUUGAGCCCUCCAAGAGCGGUGCAUCUAUCCCUGCCCUCUCCAAAUCCUGGCGCCUAGCACACCCAAUGGUGUGUGGGACGAGGCUAUUGCCACUGGCCAGCAUCGCUCGGUACAGAAUCACGCCUUAGCGGCCAAGAAGAUUUCCCAUUUAGCCCUAAAUUCUGACACCUCUUCUUCUCGUGAUUGAUCUGGCAAUUGGAUGAUUUUAUCUGACUCAUUCAUUUUGACAGCUCAUUUAAUGAGCCAGCUGAGGCAAAUGAUAUACACUUCUAGGAGUCACUGAGGUAUAGAAGUAUCUGUGCUGAUAUCCUUGAUCACAGAACUUUGGAUAUCUAAAACUAUUCCCAUCCAAAAGUUUUACUUGAUCAAUCAUCAUGGAUAGCAUAUGAUUUUCCUCUCCUUCCUUAAUAUUGAACCACUGAACUUUAAAAAUAAUUCUCUUGAAUGAUCUAAAGUUUACGUCAUAAAUAUCCAUUAAUGUACCUGUGUAAUAUAAAAGUUAUCUAUAAUAAUAAGAACGAAGAACCCAGACCCCCACAGCCGUCCGAUCCUAGGCUCGGGGCAGCCUUGGAAGCCAUGGUUCUCAGCAAGGGGAGGCUAGCCCAGGCUCGGGCCAAGGCCGGUGGCCAUGGUUAGCGGGAAUAUUGGCUCAAUGUUGUGGCGGCCAAUGGGUGGGAUGGAUGCGUGGUGGGGAAGGGAAGAGGGCAUGGUGACAGGUGUUAUGCCAUGCACUCCUAGGGCUCCAUGGUUGCUCUAGUUGGACAUGGUUGUGUGGGCAUUCCCAUGAGAGCCUGUGCAUGGUAAGUAACAGGGGCGAGUAGAAUGGUAGUCAAGCACACAAUCCAGGCUCCUCUCGGGAUCAACUAAGGACUGUGAGAGGCAAAUUGGCUCAUCUCCAACUCAGCAAAGCUUUGAUCCCUAUUCACCACUGCCUCAUGAGCUUUUUGGCCUGCAGGAAAGCAAUUAUCAAAGACACUCCCUCUUCAUCCCCGGAUUCUCUCGAGGAAUCCCUUGCUGCUAGGCCUGGUGAGGGAUUGUUGUUUCAGCACAUGCUCGGGAUCAACUCCGUUUGUAGGAACUUGUUUUGAGUUGACAUAGGGCUGUCAAGUGGCUGUGCUAGCCAACACUGCUCCUGAAGUUUUGGAAAUCCGACAUGGCACUGAUGUCUGGGUUCGAGAGAGAGAGAAGGAGAGAAGUAGAAGGUGCCACCACAAGCAUCCCGCCAACUGUUGGGAAAGGAUGGGAAAGCUGGCAUCAAUCGGUUUGUUGCAGUAGCCCAUGGAUAAAACUGUAGUCCAUGGAUAGAUGUAUGACAUUAUAGUCAGCAUUCCAGAAUCAAUCCUAAGAUAAAUUUGUUUAGUAUGAUCAUGUUAAACUAACAAAAUUCACCUACAUUGUCUGGAGUUCAGUCAAGCCUGCAAAUGAUGGAACUGGCUGAGGAGAAAAGGAGUUGUUUCCAACGCUUCUGUUAUGCAUACACAUGCAUCAGGUCAACUCCAAGUUAAGAAGAAAUAUUACAUUAGUUGGAGAGCUUUCAACCUGCUUAGAUCAGGUAACGUUCCAGUAAAAGCAUUAUCAUUGAUGUGUCUGUAAAUGAAACAAAACUUGAGUGCAAAGUAGUUACCAUAUUAGCUAUUUACAUUUCAAAGAGGGUUGAUAUCCGCCCCAAACUGCUCGGCAGUGAUCCAGCAAAUUGAUUUUUGUCAAGUCUCCUGAAAAUACACUAUUACACGAGAUUGUAUUCUAGCCAUCAAUGACUUACAUGAUGGUCAGCUUGGAAAAGUUUCCAAUUUCAUCAGGAACUUCUCCAGAGAAGCUGUUAUUGUCCAGUAACCUGAAGGACAACAGGUCCAAAAACCUCCAAGAAAAUGAGAAAGAUACGUACAAGUGCUUGAGUUCAGGUAAGAAAUAUAUUUCUAGCGCGUCCACCUCUUUGUAAACCACCCAACAUUUGCUGGGCAAGUACUCGUAAAAAACUAAGAUAGAUCAAAAUACAUACCUGGAAAAUCAAUAUGAGGUUGUUGUGGAUUCCUUAACGUAAUUAUAAUGCUGUCCAUUGUUUUCUUAUUUGCAUCAAUUUGAGAAACUCUAAAAUGCUUUCCAUUAAUCUAAUAUACUGUAUAACUCAUGGCCUAAAAUUUAAAACUAAUUAAUGAUUAGUUAAUAUUAAUUAUGACUUUGCGUCCAUUACCCAAAUCCUUAAAAACAUUUGAUACUGAUUCACCUCUUUGAAUAGUAUAUUGUAUGAUUUCAUAUAUAAUAGCCAUAGUAGGUAAUAGUGGUAGCUAUUUUAAAUUUUCAGGAAUCUAUUGGUUUGGAUGGUCAAUCACAUAUUGCAUUCUUGCAUUAUCUUUGCUUGUUGAUACUUUUGAAGGAUAAGUUGCAUUUCCUCUACAUUAAAGUAAAUAUAUAGAGAAAUAUUUUCAUAUGCUUCUUAACUAAGUUGAAUUUGUUUUUCUAGAUGCUACAAUCGAAUACUACUAUAAUCAAAUGGAGAUAUAAACUAUGAAAUACUUGAGCAAAUUAGCACUAAAAUAUUAUGCAUAUAAAAACUCUUUUUUAAUAGCAGACCUUCAGCUAUAAAUCUUCAAGUUUUACUUUUUGUCUUACCAAAGAUUUUAAAACCCUUAAAUAACACUCAAUAAAAAAUAUAUCUCAGCUAGUUCCAGGACCAACCAUCUUUAACUCAUCACUUAAUUAUACUAAUAAAUGAACUUGUGUUGUCAUAGCUGUUGUAAAUAAUGUUGCUUCCAAUAAACACACAUAAAUAAUAGACUUUUCUUUCAUAAUAAAUUUCAAAGAUCUAUCUACUUCUUGAGCAGUUUAAAAUCUAAUUAAAAUUAAAAUUAAUUGAAUUAAAAAAAUUAAAUCAAUUAUUACCAUACAACUUCUCCAAGAAAAUAUAUUACUUCCCAUAAUUGAGGUGUUGUGUUUUUCAUUAUAACAAUGAGAUAAAAAUUGUACAAAAUAUGUUAAUUUACGUUUUAGUAAAUUUAGAAACUUAUUUAUAGUAAAUGAAGCCAAUUGUUUUCAUACCUAUUAAAUUACCUUUCUCAUCGACACAAUUUGAAAAUUGAGUUCCAUAUGUUUUAAGCACUUUAAAAGCCUCUAUAUUAUCAAUAAAUAAUUUAUUUUAAUAACUUGUUAAUGUCAAAAUUCCAUGAUUAAUUUUUCCAUCACAUCACAACCAUAUGUUUUACAUUAUUCUGCACAUAACUAAGUCUAAACUAAAUUUAGAAACUUACUCAUAGUAAAUGAAGCCAAUUGUUUUCAUACCUAUUAAAUUACCUUUCUCAUUGACACAAUUUGAAAAUUCAGUUCCAUAUAUUGUAAGCACUUUAAAAGCCUUUAUAUUAUAAAUAAAUAAUUUAUUUUGAUAACUUGUUAAUGUCCAAGUUCUAUGAUCAAUUUUUCCAUCACUUCACAACCGCAUAUUUUACCUUAUUCUAUACACAACUAAGUCUUUUCUAUUACUUAAUUCAUCAUUUUUACCAGUAAUAGUUUUAUAUAUAGUUUCAAAAAAAUUCUUAAAUAUAUGCAUGUAAUCCUUUAAAAAUGCUACUGGAAACUUAUAAAAAUAUAGAAGUUGAUAAAAUGUGAAUAUAACCAUUUCAUACCAUUAGGUAACGAUAUUUGAUCUUCUUGUUUAACCAAAUAAUAAUAUGUUGCCUAACGUUUUGGAGUCAUCUGUCCUAGUAUUGGUCAAAUAUAAUUAUGACCAUUAAAUAAACUAAUUAAAAUUAAAUUUUAUUUUAUGUUUUAGAAAUAAUAACUAAAAUCUUACAUUCUAUUAGUAGACCUAAAUGGAUGAUCCAUAGGUAAGAAACACCAAUAUCCAAUAUAUAUAUGCAUUUUUAUAAAUUUCAUGACUAUAUUCCAAGGAUCUAGGUCCACAGUUUAGGUAAAAGUAUUUUCCUAUUAAUUUGAACUCCUGAAUAAAAUCAUAAUCCAAGAAAAUUAUGAAUAAACUAUCACAUUGCUUCUCUAAGCUUAAAAAACUGUUAACCUUCUAACUUAUAAUUAUCUUUGCAUGGCACUCCAUCCCAUAAUUGUUUCAACUCUUCCAAAAAUAAUGACCAAUAAAUAUUAGGUACCUUAGGGAGUUUUUAAUCUAAUAUCUGGUAUAAUCAUAAUAAGAAAUAUAAAUUAAUUGCUAGAGUUGGUGGUAUAUUAUUAUUAAUUGCAAAAAUUGCCUAACAUGAAUAUAUUUUUGCCAUUAAUUUUGUUGGAGAAAGAUCAUUUUCAGCCAUAGUAAAAUGUAUAUUUUUUGGAUCUACUGCAAAAUUUGGGUAAUCAUCUUUGAGUUUUUUUUAAAUUGAACCAUCUGCAGGCAUUCUCAUUAUUCCAUUAGUGGACUGAUGAUCAAAUGAUAAAUGAUGUAUUGUGUUAUUUCUCUACAUUGAAAUUAUUAUUGAAGUCAAGGUAUAAUAGAGAAAUAGUCCAUUAUUUUCUUAGGUAUAUAAUUGUUAAAAUCUGUGUGCUUGUUAGCAAUAGAAAUUUGACAAAAUUAAAGGUCCAUAUUCUCCUUAUGAAAUAACAUAAAAUCAUUGAUGCAUAAAUCAAUCUUUUUAUAGGUAAGUCCAUUAUGUUUAGUGAUAUUUACCACUUCCUUAAAUAUAUUUGAAAAUUUUUAUUUGUAGGCAACAUUUUAGUCACAGUUUAAAAGUUGUAAAUUGCAGCUCUAAUUAGCAACAUAUAUGAGCUUAUCUAGCUUUAAAGAAUAUGUUACUGCAAAUUAUUAUUUAUAUUUUAGUUGUAAAGGACAACUAUAAUUUCCAACUUAAAUUUGAGUAACUAUAAAGCUAUCACAAAUUACAACUUAAAUUUUGUAACUAAAGCCAAUUUGCUACUAACAUUUAAGUUGAGUUGAUUACAACUUAAAUUUCCAACGAACACAAAAAUUUCGUUGGAAAAACAUAUCAUUAUAAUGCUUUUACGGACUGGCAGAAGUCAAGUCUAAGUCUUGACCUGUCGAAGUCCACAUUCUAUCCACUGUGGCCAAAAAAUCACCACAAAAAAAAAUUGUGCAAAAAUCUAUGUUAUGUAAUAUAGUUGAUAGCCCAGUAUACCAAUGGCAAAUCCCAAGUCCCCCACUUUAUUGACUAGCAAGGCUUUUAUCAAGGCCCUUUGCUAGUCAAUAAAGUCAAUAAAGUAUUUUUACAAUGGUAAAUCCCAAGUCCCCCACUUUAUUGACUACCUCAAUUGACUCGAAGUCAAGUGUGCCAAGAAUUGAUUAGCAAAUGUGCGUGUAAACUCUUACAAAAAAAAAGAAGAACCUCAGCUUUCAUGAUAGCGUUCACUCUUUGAUGUUCUGAUCCAUGGCCAUGUCUCUCGCGGAUUUGCUGCUGCCUUUGUUUCUACUCGUCUUUCUCACAAGAUCCCGGUCACAGUGCCCCACAAAUCCAUCCGCAAUCGUGAACGACACACAGGUUCUUCUCUCUCUCCGUGACAGGCUUGGCAUCAAAGUGUGGAACGAGACUGCCAAUCCAAGAGCAUGGCGGGGAGUGGAGUGGAGCUCGGACAACCAAGUGGAGGGCCUCGCUCUGUCCAGGUUUAAUCUCUCGGGAGUUUUUCCUGCCACCUGGGCCGAGCUUCCAUCGCUGGCUCGCCUGGACCUCUCGCAAAACGGCCUCUCCUCGCUGGAAGUCCCUUGCAAAAAUACGCAGCUCAACCUCCUCAACUUGAGCUCCAAUUCCCUGCAAGAGUUCCCCGGAAAUCUCUCCAGCCUCGAGAGUUUGGAAAGCCUGGACCUCAGUGGGAACUUCUUAACAGUGGCCGGACUCCCAAAGUUUAGCUUGACGCUGCGAUCGCUCAACCUGUCCAUCAACAACUUAACUGGGAGCUUUUCCAUUGGUGGUAACCUGGGACUGGAGGCACUGGAACUCUCGCACAACGGACUCAGCGGCUCCAUUCCAGAAACUUUCGGGGAGAUGACGAACUUGACGCGCCUGGACAUAUCGUAUAACAGGUUUAGAGGAGAUCUACCCGAUAUUUGGAGCAAGAACUUGGAGCUCAGGUACAUGCGUAUCUCCAAAAAUUCGCUCCAGGGUGGUUUGCCACCGAGCUUGAGAAGGCUACGCAAGCUCUCGGAAUUACGCGCUGCAUACAACUGUCUCUCCGGGCCACUGGAGCUGGAAGAUGGCGACUUUGCAAGCAUCGAGGUUUUGAACCUCGGGCUAAACGGGUUUAGCGGAACGAUCCCGGCUACGCUGGGAGGCUUGAGGAACUUGAAGAUCCUGGAUCUCAGGGGGAAUCGUUUUAGUGGCGCCAUCCCAGGCGAGCUCUCGAAGCUCUCGCAUCUCCAGCUGCUGGUUCUCACGGGGAAUCGUUUUAGUGGUGCCAUACCUCCGGAGCUUGGAAACUGUUCGAACAUCAGAGGGAUACGCCUCGACAGCAAUUACUUGACUGGAACAAUCCCAGGCGAGCUCUCGAAGCUCUCACAUCUCCAGCAACUAGUUCUCAGCAGCAACGACAUCGGCGGGGAGCUCCCUUCCGGACUCUCCAACUGCACCGUGCUCGUCGUUCUCUGGCUGGGAAAGAACAAGUUCUCUGGAAAUCUCCCUGAGAGCUUCGGGGAUUUGAGCCGCCUGCUCAUUCUGGAGCUUUCCAGCAACGAUCUUGUCGGUUCAAUCCCGGCCAUGUUGCAAAACAUGUCGGCUCUGCAGUUCCUCAUCCUCGAAAACAACAGAUUCAGUGGCUCCAUACCGGACUGGCUUCCCAGGCUCACGAACUUACGAGCCAUGGACUUCUCGGUUAACAGGUUCUCUGGGGAGAUGCCGGAAAGCAUUGGCCGACUGUUUGCCAACGUCCAGCUUUACAACAAGAGCAAACGGCAUAUGAUGAUUCAAACCGGAGGACUCGUCUACAACGGCUUCGCCUUCCCGACCUUCAUAGACUUCUCCUUCAACCAGCUGACUGGAAGCAUUCCAGCCGCCAUUGGCGACCUCUACAAGCUCCAGGUGCUGGACCUGAGACACAACCAGCUAACAGGUCCCAUUCCCGAGUCCCUGGGGAAGGCAAGGAAUCUCUCCAAGGUGUGGCUCGCGGGGAAUCGUCUCAAUGGCUCCAUACCAUCGUCCGUGGUGGACCUCUCGUUUCUCACCAUCUUCGACGUCUCCAACAACAGCCUGGUGGGACGGAUACCUGACAGCCCGCAACUCUCGCCCAUGGACGCGGCUCUCUUCGCUGGGAAUCAGCUCUGUGGCUUGCCACUGACCAACACCUGUUCGAGCACUGCUAUGCUGCCACAUAAGCUUAGAACAGAGGGACAAGGUGGUAGCGAACAGGACCAAACAGAGGUGAUAACACUUGUCAGCGUUGCGAUCUUCGUGGCAGCCUUCUUCAACGCGUUCUUCUGGACCUACUUUGCGGCAAACCACAGAGCUCAUUCCCAUGCUGGCAAUCAAAUCUCUAGCUCGUCCACCAUGUUGCUGCCGUCCUUUCUACCUUCCAGUUCGUAAUCCAUCACCAUCGUGUGACCGCUUGAUGAAGUGAACUCUUUUUAUCCGCUUUCAAGGCCGCCUCCUGUAUAGUCUUGAGCUUAUCAUGAUCCUCCCACAGCCCCGCGCUCCGGUAGAUGCUCGCCAUCAGAACGUAUGCAGCCGAGUCAUUCUCGUCGAUCUUCGUCAGUGCCUCGAACGCAAUCCUCCCCACUUCCACUUACGGCAGGCCCCGAAGACGCUCCUCCAAACCACAGCAUCCGCUCUCAAAGGCAUGCUCUCGAGGACUUUCAAGGCCUCUUCCAGUCGGUUACGAGAUCCACCAAGCUGCUGUAGUGAUGAAUCCCGCAAACAAUGCCAGAGUCCGGGUCCAUUGCCUGGAAAAACUCCCUGCCUCGUUCAACUAUGCCGCCGUGGCUGCAAGCAGUGAUGACCGAGACAAAUGUGAUUGCGUUUGCUCGCACGCCAUCUUCUCGCAUCUCGCGAAAGGCUUCGAACACGCGCGACGUGUCACCCUGUUGGCCGAAUCCCGUGACCAGUGCAUUCCAGGCGACGAUAUCUCGGACUGCCAGAGAUCCAAACAAGUGCUCGGCCGCACUCAUAACUCCGCACUUCCUGUAGAAGUUUACUCCCCACAACUUGAUCGUCUUCCAGCCCACGCCUGUAAAGCUCAGCCUGGAUUCCUUCCAGCUAGGCCGUAAGUGCUACAAGAGUCCGAGAGUUUGGAGCACAGUCCACUCCAAGAGUUCCAGCCCGAGCUCACUCUCACCGUUGUCUAUAUAUCCCUGUAUCGAGCUCGUCCAAACGACAACGUCCCGGCUAGGCAUGCGUUUGAAAACUGCUCGAGCUUUCACCAUAUCUCCACACUUGGCAUACAUGUCCACCAAGCUGCUCCCAGCGUCCAAACUUCGCGGCGAGAGAAUGAAUCUCCAUCCCCUUUUCUAGGCUCUGGAUUCGCACUAGCUUUCCAUCUUCUCGCGGAACAGGUGGCUCGGACGCUGAAAGGUGGACGCAGGCCAUGAGCGCAGCAACAAACGUUCUCUGGUCCGGAUCGUUCUCCCGAGCCAUGCCGAAGAACAGCUCCAAGGCCAGCUUGCUGUCUCCACUUACAUCGGCCAGCCAUGCCAUCGAAGACCCUGCGAGCUUCCUCUAGCUUCUCACACUUCGCGUACAUAUCGAUCAGAGUGUUCCCCACGAACACGUUCUCACAGUACCUGCUGUUUGAAGCUUCACCGUGGAUAGCCACCUCGGUUUCCAAUCUCUUUCUCUUCACGAGUUUGCCGUCGACAUCCACCGCUUCUUCUCGCAUUGAGAGGAAAACGUCUUCGCUGCAAGACGGUCCCAUCUGCUUGGCUUGAGAAUGGAUGCCUCUGCCGGUCUCGAGACUAGCCUCCUUGACGAGCUUCCCAUCGACCAAAACAGCGUCUUCCUUCGCCGCGAGGCUGCUACAAGCCUUUGCCGCGUCCUGGAGUUUGGCUUGCAUCCUCUCGAAGAGAUCCAGAGCCACAUCGCUCUCGCCAUUGGAGACGUAGCCCAGCAUCAAGGACAUCACGUUUGGGUGAAGAAUGCUGUCGAACACGCGGCGGGAAUCCUCCAUGCUGCCGCAUUUCGCGUACAUGUCUCCCCAGCUGCUUGUUCUCCGCCGCCUGGGCGUGGAUCGCCCAGGCGUAAAUUGCCCUAGCGCAAAUCCCUUGUGACCUUCAACGCCGACACCUGCUGAUCGGGCGCCCGCGGCGGCGCUGAAUGCUGGUGCGGCGCAUCGAAUCGCUGCGUCGCCAAGUCUCAUCCAUCGCAAGAACCCUAAAAAUUUGCUAGCAACAUGGAAAUCCAACCAAGGCCGUCGAUUCAAGAAUAUCUGACGGUUGGAAAUGAAUCGGGGACCAUUAGCCUGGAAAAACCUACAAUGUGCCUCAGCGCGCUCGCAAUCCCAGGCUUGUAAGCCGGUGUCCAUCUCCGGUCGCCCUCGAGUUAAGUCGAUCGGAAACACCGCUGAAAACAGGAACUAUGGCGAUCAAGCGUAAUCGCUCUUAAGACUCUUACCUGUUGAGGCAGCGAUUCCUGCUACUCCACCGGAGAUCAAGCUCGUCACCAUCCUACUCGGGCCUGAAAGUAACCAUGCAAUGCCAGGAGGCCUAAGCAUGUCAAAACUGUGUUUACCAAUGCGAUGGUGCUCUGUCUUUUCCAAAAAUUUCUCAGGGAAACUAAAAAGAAAUCCAACUUUUAGCAUUCCAGUAGUUGUAGAGAGUGUCAUACAAGCAGAAGUUUAUCGCAAUCAUUGGGCCUAUGGCAGGAGUCAAGUCUGUUGCAUUUGGCAGUGAGGAAAACAAUACCAAAAGCGUCGGUCAGAGUUCCUUAUAAAAGCUAAGAAAGCUCUCCUGUUGAUGGAUUGUUUUCCUCACUCCUUAUAAAAGCUAAGAAAGCGUGUGAUAGAUGCGGACGCAUGGCAACAUCUACACGCAAAAGCACAAAAGUUGUCAAGGGAACAACCAACAACAAAGAUCACAAAGCUCAAGGUGAGGAAAUUUAGGAGAAGACUCAGGAACAAGAUCCUGAACAUGUAACCACCUUGAGGUUCCAAACUUACAGUCGUCAAACCGAAGUGUAAUGUGAACAUGAUCCAGUAGGAGCAGUCUCUAGCAUCUCCACCGCACACAGCAACACUAACACAACCAGCUCUCAACGCUGACACCGACAACAUGCUGCAUCACCGCAAACACCACAGUUGAGAGCAUCCCGAGCAGGAGUGAUGCUGCAAGCCUGAGCUUACACCAGAUCUUAAGCUUGACAUUUCUCCAGUUUGUGGACAAAAUGCACUGUUUCCAGCCAAUGCUACAGAUGUUGAUACCAGCAGAUUUUCCAAGGCUUUUCCACGACAAGCAGAUGAACAUUUUCAUGUGAGACAGAGUCCAAUCAACACCUUUGUCUACCAGCCCCUAGAUGCAAAGCUCUCAAACAUCCAAAACCAUAUUCUCCAGCACAAGAGGAGCAUUCGAGGUACAGCUUUCUAGGGAUCUGUAUGCGCAAAGACUUAGCACAUGAACGAGGAACUCCCCAAGGAGAAUACAGAACUUUGCAAUGAAAUCCAGCUGUAGAGAUAGGGUGCACUACAAUAGAAGAACAAGUUCAAGAAUGAGCUCUUUGGAAUCAUAGCAGUAACAAAACAGCCUAAUGCCAUGGAGAAGUGAGAGCUUCAAGAUGAAACUCAACUCAAUCGUGGAAGAAAAGUGGACCAUAGAAAAUCAACUUUAUAUUUAAAAACAUCAUCCUAAGUCUUGAGAUUCAAACUUUGAGACUCAAGAAUAGGAAUGAGUGGCAGUUGCCCUAUGUAAAACUAAUUAAAGGGGUGAGUUAACACAAACUCUAUCCCUUUCUUUUGUACUUUAGCCUUCUAUUAUUAAUGCAUAUCCAUAUGCUCAAAAUCUAGAGUACUCAAGUGAUACUAACUUUAUUUGCUCAUAACUUCAACAAAAGCCUUCUUAGAGAUUGAAGGACUUAAGUCAUUCCUUUUUUACUUUUUAUGUGUUUAUUUGUGUCUAGAGCAAAAUGCAAAAUCAAGUCAAACAAGUGUAGUAGCAAACAUCCAUUUUACUCUUACCUUUUUUUCUCUUUCACUCUUAUUUUCUUUUCCUCUUUCUUUCUUUUCUAGUACAAACUUUUAGCACACAGACUUUUACCCAAAUUUCUAGGAAUGGCUUAUUCUGACCUUUAAAGUGAUGAUUGCAAAAUAUAUGAACUUUCAACAUUUAAAUUGAGCGGAAUAUUUGGUAUCUCUUUGAUAUAUAUAUAUAUAUAAAAUUCCAUUGGUGCUUCACCAUAUUAACUCUUAUAUGGUUAUUAUUUGAUACUGCCAACAAAGUUAAGUUUACCUUUGUGAUUGUUAUAAACUACUGAUGCUAGGUUUUGGGAUCAAUAUUUGUUGAGCAUUCUUCCAUUUAUUUGAGUGGAGUUUAUUGAGCAUUUAGGCUAUAUAUAAGUGGGAUAAUAACAACACAACAACUUCCAUCAUUAUCCAUCAGUGAAAUACAAAGUGGAUGACUUGGUAAUAACUCAUUUUCCUUAUGUUACAAUAUAUGGUUUGUCUAAGGGGCUCCUUAUUCAGUGGAACAAACCAUAUUAAAUAUUGUGGUAAGUUAAACUACACAUUUAUAAGGUUUGGUAAAAUAUUCAACAAACCAAUCCUUUAGAAAUUAUAUAUAUGCAAUAACUUAAACGCUUUGUAUAAAGGGAUCAGGCACCAUCUACAGAUCCACCAAUGCCUCCUCUUGAUGUUCCUCUAAAUCCUAGCCUGUCAACCUGAAAACCUUAACUACCUUUCAUCCUUCUAAAAACAUAAUGUGAGGUCUAAGUGUAUAAUUAUGAUGUUGUAUAUAAAUAUUAGUAUAGUGGUAUUUUGAUAGUCAUAAGAUUGACUACAGAUUUUUGAUAAUUCAUACAAAGCUAAACCUUAAUUAAAUUGUAUAAAAAACUUCACAUUGAUGUUAAUCAUAUUAGUCAAACAACAGUACUUAAGUAAUCUAAUUUAACAAAAUUUAAUUAAUUUAUACACUAUCAUUAGUUGUGAGUGCUUGGAAUAUGGAAAGGGAAUACAGAAAAUGUGCAUCUCAAUUAGCCCAAAUACCCUAGCUUAUAUACAAGAGCGAGUGGUCCAGAUUGAAACCAAUCCGACGGCUACUAAAAUUCUACUACGCUAAUAUUAGUAUACAGCAUCGUAGCCAUACACUUGGCCCUCACAUCAUCCCCUCCUCUCGGAAUAAUGGAAGACCAUCAGGGUUCUCUUGUAGACGGGCCGGGAUUGGGAGGAACGUUAGAAGGAGGCAUACUUGCCGCAACACUCGAUAUAGUCCUUUCCACUGCGCAAGGAGCCCCUUAGAUAAACCACAUACCGUAAGAUGGGGAAAACAGACUAACACCAAAUCAUCCACUUUGUACUCUGCAAGUGGACGAUGAUGGGAGUUAUAGUGCCAUUGUUGUCCCAUUUGUACGUGGCCUAAGUGUGUGGCAAAUUUAGCUCGGACAAGUGGAAGAAUGCUCGUUAAAUAUUGAUCCCACGACCAAGCAUCGGCAGCUCAUGGCAAGGUAAACCCAACUCCAUUGGUAAUAUUGGAUCAUAACCAUAUAAAAGUUUAUAUGGUGAAGCACCAAUAGAACUCUGCACCCCCGUGACAUAUGCAUACCGAAGAGACGGCAAAUAACUAUCCCAAUCCGAAUGCUGAAAGUUCAUAUACUUCGUAAUCAUCCUUUUGAAUGUCUGAAUGAGCCGUUCCACCAGACUGUCUAAUUGUGGAUGAUAAGCACUUGUGAAAGUGUGGCGUAUCCCCAACCGAGACGUCAAAACAUGAAAUGCCUUAGCCACAAAUGCGGGACCAUUAUCCGAAAGAAUUUGCUUUGGACAAGAAUGCUGGAACACCACUCGAUUGAGGAGGAAGUAUCCAACAGUAGUUGCAAAGGUGCUAGCAAGAGCACCAACUUCCACCCAACGAGUCAAGUAGUCAGAAACAAUAAUAACAUACUCAUUGCUAACAAUCGAUUGUGGAAAGGUCUUAUAAGAUCAAAUGCUACUAACUCAAAUGGACGGGAAAUUACAAUUGACUCCAACCGUCCUUUGGCAACACGAGGAGGAGUAUUACGAGCUUGGCACCAAAUGCAACUAUGCACAUAUCGAAUAAUAUCAUGUCGCAUCUCCGGCCAAUAGAAAGACCUGUGCAGCUUCUUGGUUACACGACGAUGUCCCAUAUGCCCACCUAGAAUAGGAGAAUCAUGGUAGGCAUGGAAAAACUGCGAAAUAAAGACAGAAGACACCACCAGCCAUAAAUGAUUAUCAAGAUCCGUCCCCACAAAAUAAAGAAGGCCGUCUCUUCAAGGCAAUAUUGAGAAUGUAAAUGCCAAAAAGGCAAAUCAUUAGCAAGUGAUGCAGGAUUCUCAAACCCAUCUCGAAUCUUUCGAAUCCAUGGCUCAAUCUUUUGAGCAUUGCAAACCUCAUCAAGAGAAAGUAAAUUUUGCUUUGCACCUUGUAGACAUUGAACGUCAAGUAUAACAACUGCCGAUGGCAAUGAAUCCUCGUCUAAAAAAUCCACAGAUGUAGGAACAACAGGUUCGUCAAAAAUAUGAGAAGAGAGUGGAAAAGGAAGAGGAGUUCGAGAAAGGAUAUCAGCAUUAGCCAUAGAACUCCCUGGGUGAUGAAUAACAUCAAAAUCAGUUAUUUGAAGCUUCAAAGCCCAUCGAGCAAUACGACCAACCAGGUUCUUCCACUUCAAUAAUGAAGUAAUAGCAGCAUGGUCACCUUCAAGUAACGUCCGAGAACUAUGUAGAUAUGCAUGAAGUUUCUUGAAACCCCAGACUAUUGCUAAAUACUCCUUCUUUGUUGUGGAGUAGUUUAUCUCCGCUGGUUGUAAUGUACGGCUUAUAUAUGCAAUGGGAUGGUGCUGACUAGGCACAUUCGAGCUCUCUUGCAUCAAUACACCUCCAAGACCAAUGUCAAAAGCAUCCACACGCAAAAUAAAAGGUUGAGUGUAGUCAGGAUAUGCCAAAAUCGGAAGAGUUGUUAAUAGCUCUUUGAGAUCCACGAACACCCACUCACAAUUCGGAGACCAGAUGAAAGAUGACGCUGAUGACUUCAGCAACACUCGCAACAGUGCAAUACAAUCAGAAAGAUGAUCCACAAAACAACCAAGAUACUGCACCUUGCCCAAGAAGCACUGCACAUCAUUCAUACACUUCGGAGUAAGGAACUUUAGAAUAGCCACAAGUUUGUCAGGAUCAACUUGCAAACCCUUACGAAAAACACGGUACCCAAGAUAAAUUGUGUUUUUGGACCCAAACACGCACUUCGACCGCUUCAGCUUUAAACCAACAUCGCGUAGCCGAUCCAACACUUUACAAACAUCAUGAAUGUGCUCCUCCCACGUCCCCUCCAAAUGGAUCAAGACAUCAUCAAUGAAGUCAGUAGUCACCUCUGGCAUAUCGCAAAGAACCUUGUCCGUUAUCCGCUGAAAAGUUACUGAAGCAUUGUUCAAACCAAAUAGCAUCACUAAGAACUUGUACAAACCAAAUAGUAUACAAAAAGUAGUCUUAGGAAUAUCUUCUUCGGCCAUCGGUACUUGCCAGUACCCAGAAGUAAGAUCUAGCUUGUUGAAUCAACGACUUUGCCCCAAGCAAUCCAAGAGAUCAGUAGUGUGAUGAAGAGGGUACACAUCUAGGAUCAUCACUUUGUUUAACAAACGAUACUCGAUGUAGAAACGAAUACUCCCAUCAGACUUCGUCACAAAAUGAGGUUCAUAUGCCCAAGGACUCCACGACUUCCGAAUAACACCCUUUUCCAACAUCUUUUUGACGUUUGCACGUAAAAUCUUGAUCUCCUUGGGUGACUGACAACAAACAAAAACCUUGAUUCAAUGAGCAUCCUCGGUUGGAAUCGAAUGACAUGUGGCAAUCUUAGCCUUAGAUGAUAGGUCAAAUUCAAAGAGAUCAGAAUACUCCUUUAUGAGCUGGUCAACUGCUGCAACACAAAGAUUGUUGAAGGGAUUGGAAAAGGGAAGAGCAGAAUAAGACAGAAACAUAAGAGGAAAUAGUGGGGGAACAAAAGUAAUGGAAGUAGAGGUAAAAGUAGAGAGACAAAGAAGUAUGGAAGUGAGAGGAAUGGAUGAAACAUAAAGAAGUAUGAGACAAGGGGGAGAAGCUUCAAAGUCACACUUAGCAUGAUUGCGCUGUAACCAAUCCAUACUAAGAAUGAGGUCAAAAGCUUGACUUGGCACCACCCGCAAUGACUGCAACUCAAGCUCAAGAUCGCCCACAUACACAACCAGGUCUGCCUCAUCCCGUGCACAUACAUAUGUACGACUGUUGCCAUAAAGAAUGAAAACUGGUUCCACCGCACGAUGCAAGUGUAGAUGGCAACGUGUGGCAACAGGUCGAACAAUAGAAGAUAAACUUGAACCUGUAUCAACCAACACAGAGAGAAUAAUAGGAGACCUCUUGUUAUAAAAAUGAGCUUGGAAAGCAAACACUGGAUGAACCGAUACCAAGUGAACCCCUUGAUGAUACUCUCGAAAGAAAGAUGGAGGGGUCAAUAACUUAUUUGUGCAAGGUCCUCUAUUACUUGUGCGACUCCUCAUUUCCCAAAUGCAUCUUGGUGUCCAAACCUUCCACUGUAGUAGCACCAACGGGAUGUUGCUGACGCCAAAGUCUCCACCUAGGAAAUGGAGGUCGCUAAUCCGGAAAAUGCUGACAACGCCGAUAAGUAUGACCAACUUCAUCACACGCCCAGCAGCGAACAUCACGGCCACAACUACGUCCUCGCCCUUGUCCUUGGACUCGAGUAGCAGUAGCAUCAACCUCCAUUGGAAUAUAACCAUCACCCAUAGGAAGUGGAGCUGAAGGAUGUGUAACGAGAAGUGGAAGAGGCGACAUCUCAUAACAUUGUGCCAAGUGGAGAGCAUCAUCAAGGGUGGCAGGAGCAAGUGCAUGCACAAUUCUGACAAGAUCUUAACGAAGUGCUGGCCAUAACAUUCCUAGUUUGAUCCGCUCCGACAUAUUUGGCUCCACACGAAGCAAAAGACUUCGGAAAUGAAUGCCAAAUUGCAUCACUGACUCAGAUGGCCUUUGGCGAAGAUGAUGCAAUUGUUGGAAGGCAUCAUCACAAUCGUCGGCAUGUCCAAAGGCGCAUUUGAAGAUGUCAAGGAGAACACUCCAAUCCCCACAAGUGGCUUUGCUCAAACCAUUGUACCACUAUAAUGCUAUCCCUUGAAAACACAUGGGAAACUCACGCAAAUGUUGAGCAUCAUCCCAAGAAUGAUAUGUGGCAAUCACCGUGAAGUGAUUGAACCAAAGGUACAUAUCAUCCCCAGGAUUUCUGUGAAAGAACUCCGGCCGAACGUGAGGAUUGGCACCAAGAGCAGGAGGAGUUGUACCAUGUGUUGUGAACGCCACCAUCAACUGAGUUUCGUUGUUUAAUUGCAAAUGCAUAGCAUCAAGCAAUUGUACCAACUGCUGCUCCAGAGUCAAAAGAGGAGAUUGUUGAUUUGCCAUGAAGAUGAACGAAAAAGAAAUAGCAAAAGAAGAGAAAUGAUAAAAAGCUAGAAUGAAAUGGUAGAUCUAGACAAUGCAAAAAGCUAAAUCUAAACUAAAAUCAUGAAAGGAAAGAAUAAAAGAAAGGAAAUGGAAAAAGCUAGAUCUAGACGAUGCAAAAGCUAAAUCUAAACCAAAAUCCUAAAUCCAAACACUUCUUAGGGACAAUCAAAGUUGCCCCUCAUCUCCACCAAUGUGAGUGCUUGGAAUAUGAAAAGGGAAUACAAAAAUUGUGCAUAUCAAUUAGCCUAAAAACCAUGGUUCGGAUUGAAACCAAUCCAAUGGUUACCAAAAUCCCAUUACACUAAUAUUAGUAUAUGGCAUCAUAGCCAUACACUUGGCCCUCACAUAGUGUAACUAAAAGAACAAACACAAAGAAUACUUGUCUAAAAAAAAAACCUAUUCUUUACUUUUGUCUUUAAGUAAUAGCUUCUAAAGUGAAACUUUGAGGAGUAGUGACUAUGAUGUUGUAUAGCCUCCUAGAUAUCAAGAACAUUUAAGAUCCUAUACUAUUUUAUUGCAGGUGCCAUAGCGUAAGAAAGAAUAGGGGGUGAGAGAGCACAAGAUAAGGACAUGAAUCUGUAGAAAGAUGCUUGUUGAGAGCUCUCACCACCUUUCUGAAUUAUUAAAAAUAGCAGAUUAAGAUUCUUCUACCUAAUCAGACAUCCAUUACAAACCAUGGUCAGCACUCAGACUCAGAGUGUAUGGAGUGAAUAUACUUGAUGGGCCGCCCUAAUCACGUGAAUGGCAAGGUCCAUGCUUGUGAUCAACUCUAGCAGCUCAUCGAUCAAGUGAGUAAAGAUUUUUGUGAAGAAAGAGUUCCUCUAGAGGGUCAAUGUAUUGUAGGUAUGCCCUGUAUCAUCUGGGAAGAGUGGCUUCUUGCAUUUUCCAGGGCAGUGUGGAAGGCAUUGGAACUUCCAAGAGCUCCAUCUCCCACAAGAGCAUCUCCACUGCCCAAGAUCUAAAAAUCAUGGUAUUUAUGUUCUAGCAAUCUUAAAGCCUUUGUACAUGGAUAGCUGGGUUGCUAAUAGUUUUUGGUUUUCUUCCAGGGAAAAUGUAUUAGAGACCACGAAGCUGGUCUCAAGAAAGUGAUGGAUUUGCUCCAGCAGCCACAAAAUGUUUGCACUGUUGGGCACCAAGUCGUUCACGGCAAUGAGAAAUUUAGCAAACCAACGCAUAUAACUCAAGAGGUGAAGAAAGCAAUUGAGAGGGCUAUUCCUCUAGCUCCACUUCACAAUCCAGCAAACUUGGAGGUAACAGAUCUUUACUUUCUUUUUCCAAAAAGAAAAAUCCAUUUAUUUGUCCCGUUUUUUCUCCAACCUUUCUCUUAAAAUGAUCACAAAAACUUUCUAGGGAAUUCAAAUUGCUGAGGAGCUCUUCCACUGCCCCCACAUAGCCGUCUUUGACACAGCCUUCCACUCCACCAUCCCCCAGCUAUCAUACAUGUACAGAAUCCCCUAGAAGCUGUACAAAGAGCUGGGUGUACGGUGCUAUGGCUUCCACGGGAUGAGCUACCAGUUUCUUCUUGGCGAGGCCUCCUGCGCUCUUGGAAGGCUAGCGCUGGAACUUAAUCUCAUUGCCUUCCAUCUCGGCACUGGAGCAAGAGUGUGUGUGAUCAAAUAUGUGGAAUUGAUCGAUACAAGCAUGGGAAUGACUCCACUCGAAGGUUUAGUGAUGGCUACUCGGAGUGGUGGUGUUGAUCUUUUAGAGACUUAAUUAUUAGUGAAUAAAGCUUAUAUUAAAACACAAAAGUAUUCCAAAUAAGUUAUCAUCCAAUCAAUCAAUAGUAGAGUACAUGAACCACUAAGAUCAGCAUAUUUGGAAAACAUAGGAUUCACCAUCCAACAAAAUUCAAUAGCCAGUGUAUCAUCAAGGAAACUUACUGAUAAAACUUAACUACUAAAGAUUGUAAAUAGCAUGUCAAACAACUUACAAAAGAUAACUUAAAGAACACAAAGCAUCAUUAACUAGCAAGUAAGAUGCUCGUGAAUGUACCACUUAAAGGAAAUAACAUCCAAUCUAUUGAAUGUAUUACCUAAUGCCAAUCAUUGCACUAGCUAUUCUGAAUAAAUCCCAAUCAAUAAUAUGAAGGAACUCAAGUUGCUUAAACAAGUGUUAGCAACAUCCUAUCAAUGUCUCAAACCCGAAAGACCAAUCCAAAGCAAACCACAAAAACAUGUGGUAUUGUGAAAAGCCAUAAGCCAUUAAAGCAAAUAACUAACUAUCACAAAAGAUCAUUAAUCAUCCUAUGCCAUCCGCUUCUAUCCUUCACUAGAGCUAAGAAAAAGGCUCUGAUACUAAAUUGUAAGCCAUAAAUUUUUCCUUUCCAAUUUGCCAGCUUACCUUGUCUAUCCAACCAACACUGCCUUGGCUUUUGCCAAAUUCCCUCACCAAGGUUCCUGCCUAUGGUACCAACUCCUACUUGGUCCUACUUGGUUUCAGUUACUCACUACAUGAGUAAUAGAGCGUUAACCAUCAAUUCAUGGAUUCCCAAAUCUCUCCCACUCCCCCUCCCCGGGUUAGACUGGACUUAAGGUUCGACUACACUCCCCGUAGGCACAAGUAGCCAAGCACACCAAGCCUCCAAGUUCCUAACAUCCCUUGGUACCACAAUACUUGAUCAUGGGACCCUCUAAAUCCCAAGUCUUGAGUGCAACACAUGCUUCAAGACGCCGGGGCGAAACACAAUGGCCUAACGGCCUAGUAUGGGUACCUCUACCCCCCCCCACUUCCAUCCCACUUGCAUCUUCCCCAUCUCUCGAGGAAGUCGGAGAUGGUAAACCACUUUACCGAUUCGUGCCUUAAUCUCGUAAGGCCCUGCGAACCUGUUUAAGGAACUCAAGAUCAAUUCAAUUCUAGGAAUACAUGCAUUUUUACCUUUGGGUCAACUUCCAGUUGAUCCCACUUGGCAGCCUGAGGUUCUUGGUGUUCAGCCACACCUUCUUCCCAACUUGGAACUCUACAUUCCAACGCUUCUGGUUCGCAUAUUUGGUUUGCCUUUGUUGAGCCCGUUCCAAGGAAUCCCUCACUAGAUUCCAAAUGUUGAAUCUUUCCGCCAUGAAUGCCUCCACUGCAGGUAACUCUCCAUGGUACUCAACCAUGCCAAGCUCCAUAGGACCUUCAAUAGCUCGCCCAUUGAUGACUUCCCAUAGACUCACCCCAAUACUCGAAUGUGGUGAGUUGUUAUAACAUAUUUCCGCAAGUCCCAAAUGACUUACCCAAUCGGUCUGGUCUCCUGAGACAUAGCAUUGCAAAUAAUCCUCCAGUUGCCUAUUCACCCUUUCUGUUUGUCCGUCUGUCAAGAAGUGUUAGUGCCAUCAAACUUGACUUAAUACCCAAUACCUAUCUAUGGGUGAUAAGCUGUGUUGAAUUUCAACUUGGUGCGAUAUUGUUCUAGAAGAGUUCUCCAGAACCUACUAGUGAAGAUCUUAUCUCAAUCUGAGAUGAUCUCUUCCGGCCUUCCCUGCACUCAAACCACUUGUUCGAAGAACAACUUCGCUACACCUUCCGCAUCCACUUCCGUUGUGGUGGGUAUGAAAUGUGCCAUCUUCGAAAAUCGGUUAGUGCUUGAGCUCCUCGAGUUCUUUUUGGUUUGGCCCCUUUGCUAAAUGUGGACCCCAACCUUGUUGUGUUCCCCUUUCGUAGGUUAUCGUUGAAAUGCACCUUGAUGGCUGCAUCCAAUGCUUCCUUGUAGUUGGUCGUGUUCCAAUGCAUUACCUCAUCGCGAGCCUAGGUUUGCAAGCUUGAUAUGAAGGCAUGGAACGCAUCCAUAUCCCCCAUGUCCGUGACAAGUAUCCUCUUUGCCAUAAACCCAUUCACAUACUUCUAAAUGAUUCCAAUCUACUUUAGCCUACUAAGCUCGUCUUUUAGAUGUAGAGUAGCAUUUGGAGGAACGUAAAUCACGCGGAUCCUUGCUUUCAUCAUUUCCCAAGUGGCCACCGGUCCUUCGUUGGCCUUUAUCGUUCCCCACCAAGACUUGGCAUUAUCUGCUAAGUAUGGUUUUGCACAUGAGACCUUCUCCAAGCUUGGUAACUGCAACGCUUGAAAAUAGUCCUCCAUAUUGUAAAACCACUCCUUCACCACCUUAUAGUCAUUCACUCCCUUGAAGAUCAGUGGGGGCUUUGGUUUGUACUUGGGACUGAUUCCACUUUGGUCUGUUCGACCUUGUUUGGUUUUGCCUCAGUCCCUGCCGAAGGGUUCACACCUUCUGCACUGCCAGCAUCCGCAGUCUUUUGCCUUUUCUUCCGCUUCUUAUCACGCUUUAGCUUGCGUCCGAGAGUCUUCAGUAGGGCAUUGGUCUGUGCCAAUUGUCCUUCUAGAAUGUCCAAUUGAGCCUUGGACGACCGAACCUUACUACCGGACUCUUGUUUGGAAGUUUCCUCAUUGGAGUCCUCCUCAUGCAAGGAUUCCUCAUCCAUAGCCUUUUGUUCGACCGAAGGCUCCAGCUCUGAAGGAGGUUCCAUCUCUGCCUUGGUUUGUUUCCGCCCUGCCUUUGCCAUCUCCCAGCAAUCCGCCUCUAUCCUUCGCUAGAACUGAGGAAAAGGCUCCAAUACCAAAUUAUAAGCCACAAAUUUUUCCUUUCCAAUUUGUCAGCUUACCUCGUCUAUCCAACCAACACUGCCUUGGCUUUUGCUAAGUUCCCUUGCCAAGGUUCCCGCCUAUGGUACCAACUCCUACUUGGUCCUACUUGGUUUCAACUACUCACUACACGAGCAAUAGAGCAUUAGCCAUCCAUUCAUGGAUUCCCAAAUCUCUCCUAAUCCCCCUCCCCGGGUUAGAUUGGACUUAAGGUUCGGCUACACUCCCCGCAAGCACAAGUAGCCAAGCACACUAAGCCUCCAGGUUCUUAACAUCCCUUGGUACUACAAUACUUGAUCAUGGGACCCUCUAAAUCCCAAGUCUUGAGUGCAACACAUGUUUCGGGACGCUAGGGCGAAACACCAUGGCCUAACGGCCUAGUAUGGGUACCUCUACCCCCCCCCCCCCCCCCCACUUCCAUCCCAAAGGGAAGGCCCAAGCCCUUGGGAAGGGCGAGGACCAAUGAGCCGCAAGGUACUCAAAUAGGGCACCACUCCAUAUGAGCCGAGAGCACCACAGUCGGUUUCCCUUUCGGGAGUGGGAGCUGCUAUUGAGCACUUCCUUGGGUGGCCCCUCUGGCACCACCCGAGUCCAUGCUCACUCCCACCCAAGGCCCCUCGGCCCCAGUCUCAACCUCAAGUCAGUUUGGAAGCACCACUGAAGAGUUCCUUCAAGACUGGUUCUUGGACCUCACUAUCCCUAUUAUACUUUUGGAACCCCUGCAGCCCCCCCCCCCCGGGAGACGCACGCUUUGGGCUUUCACCCCUUGACCUGUAUUAGUACUUGGACUCGGUCUCGGACUUGAUCUUGGACUUGAUCUCGGACCCGACUUUGGACUUGGUCUUGGACUCGAUCUUGGAUCCAAUCUCGGACUCGACUUCGGACUCGACCUCGGACUCGGUCUCAGAACCGAUCUCGGAUCUUGGACUUUAUCUCGAACUCGGUCUCCGAGUCGGCCUCGGACUCGAGCCCGGACUCUAUCUCGAACUUGGUUUUAAAGUCGGUCUUAGACUCGAUCUCAGACUCGGUCCCAUCCGAUGAACUCUUUGUCAUUUCGGUCAUGCUUUUGGGGAUCCUUUAGCCUACGACACCUCGGGGAGUUGGUUCCUUACAGUAAGUCACUUUAUAAUAAGCAUAAAAAUCAUCAUCAAUGAUCAAUAUAUAGGAUUCAACAUCUUCAAUAUUGAUCAUUAACUCUUCCUCUUGUAAAGUUAGUAUAGUCCACGACUGAAUCACUUUUCAAGGAAAAGCUAAAGCUGUUGACCCCUACUAAACAAUCUCGUCUAGAACACAACUAACUCAACUUGCAACUCAGUUUAUUUGAACGUCAACAUAAUUGUUAACUAGUAAAUACAUGAAUGCCAAUAACAUAAAGCUAUAGCCCAAACAUCAACACUAUUUAUAUCAAGACUAAUGAAAUUCAAUAUCAAUCUUAUGGAGAGAUAUUUCAUUUCAGUCAAAUCUCAACAACAAGGCAUCACUUCAAUGCCAUCAACACCAUAAUAAAGCUAAAAGAAAGCAAGAGCGAAUCACCACUCAAAGCUCUUUAGCAACCAAGCUAAACAAAGUCAAAAAUACCUUAGUUAGUAUCUGAGACCAAUCCUUCAACACUACUUAGUUACAAAUAACACACUAUCAAAGAGUGAUUCACCACAUCCAAGACUCCAUGAAAUCCAACACCAUGGACUAAACGCAAACAAAUGAUAUCGACAAAGGUAGACUUGAUAUACCAACAUGGAAAAACUAUAUAAGUUUAACGACAUGAUCUUUUACAACACCAUCUAGUAAAGCAAGCUUAUCACUGCUAAAUCAUCAUCGAGCAAAGCAAGUGUUAAAUAAUCCUUAACAAAGUCUACAAGCAAUCAUUAAUUUCCAAACAACUAACAAUCACUCUUCAAUUUGCCUUCACAAGACUUGAACACUAAACUCAUGCCAUCAAAUCAUAUACUUGUCUAACAUAAACAUAAUACCUCAAGUACGAGAUAAAGGUUUAUGGACAGGCAUAAAUUAAAUGACUACUUGAAUCCAAUUCAACCGCAAUAAGCUCAUCAAUAUGUUUAGAUAAUAGCUCUGAGCAUGCCUAAAGAGGCUAGCUAUGCAUGAUCAACAUUUAGUCGUAACUAAAGUGAAAAUCAUAAGAUGGACUCAUAUCAGUACACAACCUCCUCAUAUACAAAGUUAUAGUAUGGGUACCAACAUUUUAACCUCAGACAACUAAGUUGGACAUCACCAUCCUUAGCCAAGGCACAGGGCCACCAAAACUAAGUUAAGAUCAAUGAGAGCUCACUACUCUCAUAUAGUUUAACAAAAUGCAAAGUGAGCCUACCACCAAGCACAAUGCUACAGAAAAAAGGCACAAGAGUCACAUUUCUAGAAAAUUGUAAUGACUACUUUUCUACAUCAACUCCAGACUCUAUCCAACUCAAUUGCUUUAGCCUCAAAAGUUAGCAUCCCUUUCGGGCCGUAUUAUACAAACUACUUACUAGGGUUUAAGCUAACCAAAAUCAACUUCAACCCCUUCACUAGUUUGGAUUGGCUUACAAAAUAAAUUAAUUUUUGAGCAAAGUGAUCAAUAGAUCAACCAUUGAAAAAUCCUAAAAAAAUUUGUAGAAAAUUUUCCAUCCUAGAGAAAGAAUGAUUCUCAGUCUAGGAAUGCAAACUUUCAAGACUCAACCAACUUCCUCCUACUAACAACUUCACAUAUGUUCACCUCAACACUAAUUGUCAUGACUCAACAAUAUAUUUAAGCAUCGAACAUCAUGCCCAUAUUUCGACAUCCAACACAGACAUCUGCAAAAAUGCAUAAUGAACAUUUAAGGCUUGAUCAUGAAGACUAUAUCUUCAGAUAUCCAUAUUACACUAACACUAUUCUUCAAUUACCUUCAACAUUUAAUAUGAAGCCAAAACACUAACAAGAAAAAUGACAUGGAAAAUCAAAUUCUAAAGAAAAUUCCUCAUCACUUGAAACAACAAUGCUACUUCCUUAACACGAGUGCUAACAAUGUCAAUGCUUCAACUACACACCUUCUCCAUCCAACAAUCUACUCCAAGUGCUAACAGAUCAACUAACAAGCUAUAACAAGUGAAUGUUAUAACCCUUUCUAACACCUUAUGGGCAAACCCUUAAGUAAAUAAUGUAUUGACUUAAGCUUAGCAUAAUGGAUCAUCAUCCAGAAUCUAGUCAAAGCUAGUAUAUGUAAGUAGACUAGUUUUUCCAUCAACCACUUUGGGGUUUAUCAUCAUUUACAACUUCAUAAACACAUUGCACACUAUCACAUGGGUAUGAUAUAAAUUCACAAUGACUUAAUCAUUAAUUGAGCAACACCACAAGCAAUACCCAUGUCACUACUACAAAGUUUAUGUGAGUAUCAAGUAUUAACUCAAUUCGACAAAAUGCAACAUAAAUGCCACACCCCAUCGAUAGAGAUUUACAACACCCAAUACCACUAACUUUUGUUCACAACAUGGACAAACUCAUACCACUUUUUUUUUUACUAAACUCAAAACUAAUUUAACACCAAGCUACUUAAGGAGCAAUAGCAAGGUUCUCCAGAAAAGAUUUGAGCAUUAUAACCCAAGUCUUCUAAUAGUAAGUCAAGUUAAAGUGGUUUAACAUUUCACGAUUAUCCAUCUUUAACCAAACCUCAAGCUUGCGUUCGCACUGCUUUUAGUCCAAUCCAAGAAACUUUUAUGAGAGAGCAUGGCAAUGAUUAUUUGAACCAAUAGACUUAUCCCUAUAGUCUUGAUUGAUCCACUUAUAAUUAUGCCUAGGAAUGAUCCACUAGUGUCGUGCUAACAACUAUAGGCCAACCUAUUUACCACUCUUAGAAAACUCAAGGAAGGUUUAUUUUUUCUCACGGUACAUAGAACAACUCAUGGAACCAUUGGAAUCAUUUAUGGAACCACUGAUAGGUUAAUAUUAAUCCUAUUAACUCAAAGUGUAACCUCGAGUUGCUAAUGUGCUUCACUCACGAGCCUAAGCACAAAUUUGUGUAUAAUGGUACAUCUCAGUCCUUCUUAGGAGCCCAAGAGCAAACUCAUAUAAUAAGGUACAAAAAUGCAACCAAAUCCAUACCCAAGAAACAAAUGUGAAGCCUUUGCACCCAAACGUGUACCCACUCGGAUCAUCAUUUUCAUCUCUACAUAUUCAACGAAAUUAGUUGCCCAAUCUCAUUGGAUAGUACUUGCUAAGACUCAUCCUCUGAUACUAAUUGUAGCGCAUGUGGUUUUCACCCUUUAUCCUAUGGUGAUUUACCAUAGGAUAACCACGAAGCGGAACCUAAACCCUUUAUAUACCAUGUGUCACAUGCCACGUGUCCAAAAGAUAGUGGAGUGGAGCUUGAGUUUCAAAGCCUUAGGCCACUGAAUGAAAGAAUGGUGCCAAACUCCCAAAUAUAGAACCAAAGAGUAAUGGCACUAGAGCAUGGAAUGAAUCCCAAGCGUAUAGCCCAAAGAGUGAAAAGAUAGAAGCAUGAAGCGAUUUGGAAUAGUUAUAGAGCAUCUAACAUCCUAAUGCCAGAACCAACACGUAAAAUGGUGCCAAAUGGAGUCUGGCGUUAUUUCAGCAUAUCGGUGGCCUAACAUAAAGAUAUAAGUACUCCACCUGGAACUUAGGUUUAAACCCAAGCCGGAUGUAGAAUAAAGAUAAACACACAAACGAGAGCUAGAUUAUGCCCCAAGUUGGUCAGCUAUGCCCAACCUACCCAUUAUCCCUACUAUACAUUUGGAACCCCCUAUAUCCUGCUACACCUCCUCCCCCUCCCCCCCCCCCUGAGGAACACAUGCUUUGGGCUUUCACCCAAGCUUCCCUUAGUAUUAGGAGUUAGUUUCUGAGACAAGCUCGAAACUUACUAAAUGUGGAAUCCCCCUAAAUUGUGAAUUUGAACAUGGGACAAACACCAUUGUGUUCAAGACAAUCUCUACAUUCUGUAAAUAUGUCAAAUGAGCAAAUCUAAACACUUUUCAUAAAUAACAUUUGGGACUAAAAUGAGAUUAAUACAAAGAACAUGAUAGUGAGGGUAUUGUAAGCUCUUGAGUUUUGGACUUCCCGGGAGGUCACCCAGCCCAGUACUAUUCAAACCCAAGGACGCUUAACCCCAAGUAUCCCAAGACCCUUAACCGAUUGGAAAAGGGGGUGCACUCUUGUUCAUGGGCCCUUUCCCUCUAUAUUUGAACCCCAUGGAUCGUCUCUCGAGUCGUUCCCUUUGGUUGCUUACAGGUAUUUGGCAAACACAGUAAGCUAUCGUUUAGUGAAUAUUGAGGGACGAAGCUCAAUAUUACAAGGGUUCUUAACACUAGCAAGUGCAAAUCAACAACACGAGUUUCUCGUUACCAUGUUUAGUAUGCUUGAUUUAAUAAUAACUUAGGAUUUCCUUCUUUAGUGCCCUUCUGGCUUAAGUGCAUAUGUGCUAACCAGUUUCUCAACUAGCUUGGGUGGAGACCAUAAGGGAACUAACAGUAGUAACCUUUUGCUAUUAUGGUAAUAUGGAGAGAGUGUAUGUAAGGAUUGGUUGACAAAUAUCUUUUGAUACCUGAAGUCAUAUUUGCGACAAAAAUGUGCUUGUGUUGUCAUAACUAUUGUAAGUAAUGUUACUUCCAAUAAACACACACAUAUGAUUAACUUUUCUUUCAUAAAAAGUAUCAAAGAUUUAUCUACUUCUUGAGCAGUUAAAAAUCUAAUUAAAAUUAAAAUUAAUUGAAUUCAAAAAAUUAAAUCAAUUAGUACCAUAAAACUUCUCCAAGCAAAUAUAUUACUUUCUAGUGUUGUGUUUCCCAUUAUAAAAAUGGGAUAAAAAUCCUAAUAACUAUAUUAAUUAACAUUUUAGUAAAUUUAGAAACGUACUCAUAGUAAAUGAAGCCAGUUGUUUUCAUACCUAUUAAAUUACCUUUCUCAUCUAUACAAUUUGAAAAUUCAGUUCCAUAUAUUGUAAACACUUUAAAAGCCUCUAUAUUAUCAAUAAAUAAUUUAUUUUGAUGACUUGUUAAUGUCCAAGUUCUAUGAUCAAUUUUUCCAUCAUGAAGCAGCCACAUAUUUUACUUCAUUCUGCACACAACUAAGUCUUUUUUAGUACUUAAUUCAUCAUUUUUACCAGUAAUAGUUUUAUAUAUAAUUUCAAAAACAUUCUUAAAUAUAUGCGUGUAAUCCUUUAAAAAUGCUAUUGGCAACUUAUAAAAAUAUGGAAGUUGAUAAAAUGUGAAUAUAACCAUUUCAUACCAUUAGGUAAUGAUAUUUGAUCUUCUUGUCUAACCAAAUAAUAAUAUGGUACCUAUUUUUUUGGAUUCAUUUGUCCUAGUAUUGGUCAAAUAUAAUUAUGACUAUUAAANNNNNNNNNNNNNNNNNNNNNNNNNNNNNNNNNNNNNNNNNNNNNNNNNNNNNNNNNNNNNNNNNNNNNNNNNNNNNNNNNNNNNNNNNNNNNNNNNNNNAUGUUUUAGAAAUAAUAACUAAAAUCUUACAUUCUAUUAGUAGACCUAAAUAGAUGAUCUAUAGGUAAGAAACACCAAUGACCAAUAUAUAUGCUUUUUUAUAAACUUCUUGACUAUAUUCUAAGAAUCUAGAUCCACAAUCUGGGUAAAAGUAUUUUCCCAUUAGUUCAAAGUCUUGGAACAAAAUCAUAAUCCAGGAAAAUCAUGAAUAAACUAUCACACUACUUCUCUAAGCUUAAAAAACUGUUGACCCUCUAGCUUAGAAUUAUCUUUGCAUGGCACUCCAUCCCAUAAUUGUUUUAACUCUUCCAACAAUAAUAACCAAUAAAUAUUAAGUACCUUAGGAAGUUUUGGCCCUAGAAAAAUUAUAGAUAUAAAUAUUUCAAUUUAUUUUUUUAAACUAAUACCUAGUAUAAUCAUAAUAAGGAAUAUAAAUGAAGGCUUAAUUGCUAGAGUUGGUGGUAUAUUAUUAUUAAUUGCAACAAUUGCCUAACAUGAAUAUAUUUUUGCCAUUAAUUUUGUUGGAGAAAGAUCAUCUGCAGCCAUACUAAGAUGUAUAUUUCUUGGAUCUACUGCAAAAUCUGGAUAAUCAUCUUCGAAUUUUUUUUUAAGUUGAACCAUCUGCAGGCAUUUUCAUUAUUCCAUUAGUGGAUUGAUGAUAAAAUGAUAAGUUAUAUAUUGUGUUAUUUCUCUAUANNNNNNNNNNNNNNNNNNNNNNNNNNNNNNNNNNNNNNNNNNNNNNNNNNNNNNNNNNNNNNNNNNNNNNNNNNNNNNNNNNNNNNNNNNNNNNNNNNNNCAUUAUUUUCUCAGGUAUAUAAUUAUUAAAAUCUUUGUGCUUGCUAGCAUUAGAAAUUCUACAAAAUUGAAGGUCUUUAUUCUCCUUAUAAAAUAACAUACAAUCAUUCUUCCUUUUGUCUUCCAAAAGGUACUCCGACACUAGAGCAUACAGUCAAUCCAAGCUUGCGAACAUCUUCCACGCCAAAGAACUGGCAAUGAGAUUCAAGGUAUUCAUCUAAUGCUUUGAAAUCUCUCCCACCUUUCUCUUUUGUCAAUGCUUUCUCUUUUGCUGAUUAGGCUGAAGGAGUUGACAUCACAGCCAACGCUGUUCAUCCAGAGUUUAUAAUGACACCUUUGAUGUGGUACACAUUCUACAUAAUGAGUUUGUCUCUUUGCCUCAUUUGUUUUCGGUUACUUAUGGAACUUUGAUCUUCAUGCAGGGGUUCUCAAGUUCCUCUCCAGCUUCCUUUGGAAAAAUGUCCCACAGGUAAGAAAAAUUCUCUCAAUUAUCUGGAAGUUUUUUGUGACUAAUACGUGAUCGAUCUCUCAGGGCGCUGCUACGACGUGCUACGCGGCUUUACAUCCAAGCCUCAAGGAUGUCACUGGGCAAUACUUCGUGGAUUCCAACAAAUCCAACUGUAGCGCUUAUGGCAGAGAUCCCGAGCUCACUCACAAGCUAUGGACCUUCUCCCAGGAGCUUAUAGACAAGCAUUUUCCAUCCUAAAGGUAAAAGGUUGAUAGUGCUAGAGAGCGAGUGAGCAAACAAGGACAACUCAGCUGUUUACCAUAAAGACGAAUAUGAUUUAUAAUAAUUUGUAUAAGGUAAAUAUAAUUACUUCUACACCUUAAACACCAACAUGCAACUCUCAUUCCUAAAUCCUAAACAAAAAACUUAAUACAGAUCUGAGGAAAAAAACAAAUUAGGAAAUUAUGUGUUAAAAGUGGGUACAUUAUACUACUAUUAGUAAGUUAGUUGAUGUAAAUAUUGUUGAAAUUUAUGACUAAAAAUUUUGGAACUACAAACCUUAAGAACUUACAUUUUAGUCACAGUUUAAAAGUUGUAAAUUGCAACUCUAAUUAGCAGCCUAUAUGAACUUAUCUAGCUUUAAAGAACAAAUUAUGAUUUAUAUUUUAGUUGUAAAGGACAACUAUAAUUUCCAACUUAAAUUUGAGUAACUAUAAAGCUAUCUUAAAAUUUGUAACUAAAGCCAAUUUGCUACAUUUAAGUUGAGUUGAAAAUUAAAACUUAGAUUUCGAACAAACACAAAAAUUUCGUUGGAAAAACAUAUCAUUAUAAUGCUUUUAUGUAGUAGUGUACGGACUGGCAGAAGUCAAGUCUAAGUCUUGACCUGCCGAAGUCCACAUUGUAUCCACCGUGGCCAAAAAAUCACCACAAGAAAAAAUUGUGCAAAGGUCUAUGUUAUGUAAUAUAGUUGAUAGCCCAGUAUACCAAUGGCAAAUCCCAAAUCCCCCACUUUAUUGACUACAAAGCUUUCAUCAAGGUUCAAUCGGCUCGAAGUCAAGUGUGCCAAGAAUUGAUUAACAUUUGUGCGUGUAAACUCUGUGAAAAGAAGAACCUCAUCUUUCAUGAUAGCUCCCACUCUUUGAUGUUCUGAUCCAUGGCCAUGUCUCUCGCGGAUUUGCUGCUGCCUUUGUUUCGUACUCGUCUUUCUCACAAGAUCCCGGUCACAGUGCCCCACAAAUCCAUCUGCAAUCGUGAACGACACACAGGUUCUUCUCUCUCUCCGUGACAGGCUUGGCAUCAAAGUGUGGAACGAGACUGCCGAUCCAAGAGCAUGGCGGGGAGUGGAGUGGAGCUCGGACAACCAAGUGGAGGGCCUCGCUCUGUCCAGGUUUAAUCUCUCGGGAGUUUUUCCUGCCACCUGGGCCGAGCUUCCAUCGCUGGCUCGCCUGGACCUCUCGCAAAACGGCCUCUCCUCGCUGGAAGUCCCUUGCAAAAAUACGCAGCUCAACCUCCUCAACUUGAGCUCCAAUUCCCUGCAAGAGUUCCCCGGAAAUCUCUCCAACCUCAAGAGUUUGGAAAGCCUGGACCUCAGUGGGAACUUCUUAACAGUGGCCGGACUCCCAAAGUUUAGCUUGACGCUGCGAUCGCUCAACCUGUCCAUCAACAACUUAACUGGGAGCUUUUCCAUUGGUGGUAACCUGGGACUGGAGGCACUGGAACUCUCGCAGAACGGACUCAGCGGCUCCAUUCCAGAAACUUUCGGGGAGAUGACGAACUUGAAGCGCCUGGACAUAUCGUAUAACAGGUUUAGAGGAGAUCUACCCGAUAUUUGGAGCAAGAACUUGGAGCUCAGGUACAUGCGUAUCUCCAACAAUUCGCUCCAUGGUGGUUUGCCACCGAGCUUGAGAAGGCUACGCAAGCUCUCUGUUUUACGCGCUGCAUACAACUCUCUCUCCGGGCCACUGGAGCUGGAAGAUGGCAACUUUGCAAGCAUCGAGGUUUUGAACCUCGGGCUAAACGGGUUUAGCGGAACGAUCCCGGCUACGCUGGGAAGCUUGAGGAACUUGAAGAUCCUGGUUCUCACGGGGAAUCAUUUUAGUGGCGCCAUACCACUGGAGCUUGGAAACUGGUCGAACAUCAGAGAGAUAUGGCUUGACAGCAAUAACUUGACUGGAACAAUCCCAGGCGAGCUCUCGAAGCUCUCGCAUCUCCAGAAGCUGGUUCUCACGGGGAAUCGUUUUAGUGGCGCCAUACCGUCGGAGCUUGGAAACUGGUCGAACAUCAGGGAGAUAUGGCUCAACAGCAAUAACUUGACUGGAACAAUCCCAGGCGAGCUCUCGAAGCUCUCGCAUCUCCAGAAGCUGGUUCUCACGGGGAAUCGUUUUAGUGGCGCCAUACCGUCGGAGCUUGGAAACUGGUCGAACAUCAGGGAGAUAUGGCUCAACAGCAAUAACUUGACUGGAACAAUCCCAGGCGAGCUCUCGAAGCUCUCGCAUCUCCAAAGGGUGGUUCUCACGGGGAAUCGUUUUAGUGGCGCCAUACCUCCGGAGCUUGGAAACUGGUCGAACAUCAGGGAGAUAUGGCUCAACAGCAAUAACUUGACUGGAACAAUCCCAGGCGAGCUCUCGAAGCUCUCGCAUCUCCAGAAGCUGGUUCUCACGGGGAAUCGUUUUAGUGGCGCCAUACCUCCAGAGCUUGGAAACUGGUCGAACAUCAAAGAGAUAUGGCUCGAUAGCAAUAACUUGACUGGAACAAUCCCAGGCGAGCUCUCGAAGCUCUCACAUCUCCAGCAGCUGGUUCUCACGGGGAAUCGUUUUAGUGGCGCCAUCCCAGGCGAGCUCUCGAAGCUCUCGCAUCUCCAAAGGGUGGUUCUCACGGGGAAUCGUUUUAGUGGCGCCAUACCUCCGGAGCUUGGAAACUGGUCAAACAUCAGGGAGAUAUGGCUCAACGGCAAUGAUUUGACUGGAACAAUCCCAGGCGAGCUCUCGAAGCUCUCACAUCUCCAGCAGCUAGUUCUCAGCAGUAACGACAUCGGUGGGGAGCUCCCUUCCGGACUCUCCAACUGCACUGAGCUCGUCGUUCUCUGGCUGGGGCAGAACAAGUUCUCUGGAAAUCUCCCUGACAGCUUCGGGAAUUUGAGCCGCCUGCUCCUUCUGUCGCUUUCCAGCAACGAUCUUGUCGGUUCAAUCCCGGCCAUAUUGCAAAACAUGUCGUCUCUGCAGUUCCUCUUCCUCUCAAACAACAGCUUCAGCGGCUCCAUACCGGACUGGCUUCCCAGGCUCACGAACUUACGAGCCAUGGACUUCUCGGUUAACAGGUUCUCUGGGGAGAUGCCAGAAAGCAUUGGCCGACUGUUUGCCAACGUCCAGCUUUACAACAAGAACAAACGGUCUGUGAUGAUUCAAACCACGCGAGGACUCCUCUACAACGGCUUCGCCUUCCCGACCUCCAUAGACUUCUCCUUCAACCAGCUGACUGGAAGCAUUCCAGCUGCCAUUGGCGACCUCUACAAGCUCCAGGUGCUGCACCUGAGCCACAACCAGCUAACAGGUCCCAUUCCCGAGUCCCUGGGGAAGGCAAGGAAUCUCUCCUGGGUGGGGCUCGCAAGCAAUCGUCUCAAUGGCUCCAUACCAUCGUCCGUGGCGGACCUCUCGUUUCUCACCAUCUUCGACGUCUCCAACAACAGCCUGGUGGGACGGAUACCUGACAGCCCACAACUCUCGUCCAUGGACGCGGCUCUCUUCGCUGGGAAUCACCUCUGUGGCUUGCCACUGACCAACACCUGUUCGAGCACUGCUAUGCCGCCACAUAAGCUUAGAACAGAGGGACAAGGUGGUAGCGAACAGGACCAAAGAGAGGUGAUAGCACUUGUCAGCGUUGGCAUCUUCGUGGCAGCCUUCUUCAACGCGUUCUUCUGGACCUACUUUGCGGCAAACCGCAGAGCUCAUUCCCAGCUCUGUGGAUGCUGGCAAUCAAAUCUCUAGCUCGUCCACCAUGUUGCUGCCGUCCUUUCUACCUUCCAGUUUGUAAUCCAUCACGACUGCUUGAUGAAGUGAACUCUUCUUAUCCGCUUUCAAGGCCGCCUCCUGUAUAGUCUUGAGCUUAUCAUGAUCCCCCCACAGCCCCGCGCUCCGGUAGAUGCUCGCCAGCAGAACGUACGCAGCCGAGUCAUUCUCGUCGAUCUUCGUCAGUGCCUCGAACGCACUUCCACUUACAGCAGGCCCCGAGGACGCUCCUCCAAACCACAGCAUCCGCUCUCAAAGGCAUGCUCUCGAGGACUUUCGGUUACGAGAUCCACCAAGCUGCUGUAGUGAUGAAUCCCGCAAACAAUGCCAGAGUCCGGGUCCAUUGCCUGGAAAAACUCCCUGCCUCGUUCAACUAGGCCGCCGUGGCUGCAAGCAGUGAUGACCGAGACAAACGUGAUGGCGUUUGCUCGCACGCCAUCUUCUCGCAUCUCACGACAGGCUUCGAACAUGCGCGACGUGUCACCCUGUUGGCCGAAUCCUGUGAUCAGUGCAUUCCAGGCGACGAUAUCUCGGACUGCCAGAGAUCCAAACAAGUGCUCGCACUCAUAACUCCGCACUUCCUGUAGAAGUUUACUCCCCACAACUUGAUCGUCUUCCAGCCCACGCCUGUAAAGCUCAGCCUGGAUUUUCCUUCCACUCCAAGAGUUCCAGCCCGAGCUCACUCUCACCGUUGUCUAUAUAUCCCUGUAUCGAGCUCGUCCAAACGACAACGUCCCGGCUAGGCAUGCGUUUGAAAACUGCUCGAGCUUUCACCAUAUCUCCACACUUGGCAUACAUGUCCACCAAGCUGCUCCCGACAAAUCUGUGCUCGCAGCGUCCAAACUUCGCGGCGAGAGAAUGAAUCUCCAUCCCCUUUUCUAGGCUCUGGAUUCGCACUAGCUUUCCAUCUUCUCGCGGAACAGGUGGCUCGGACGCUGAAAGGUGGAUGCAGGCCAUGAGCGCAGCAACAAACGUUCUCUCGUCCGGAUCGUUCUCCCGAGCCAUGCCAAAGAACACCUCCAAGGCCAGCUUGCUGUCUCCACUUACAUCGGCCAGCCAUGCCAUCGAAGACCUUGCGAGCUUCCUCUAGCUUCUCACACUUCGCGUACAUAUCGAUCAGAGUGUUCCCCACGAACACGUCCUCACAGCACCUGCUGUUUGAAGCUUCACCGUGGAUAGCCACCCCGGUUUCCAAGCUCUUUCUCUUCACGAGUUUGCCGUCGACAUCCACCGCUUCUUCUCGCAUUGCCGAGCUCGCACAGGCGGCAAGCGCAGCAACACACGUCUGAGAGUUUGGACAGCACCCAGAUAGCUUCAUAUCUUCGAAGAACACGAGAGCCAGCUUGCUUUCCCCGUUGUCCACAAAGCCUUGUAUCAAGCUCGUCCAGAGCACCACAUCACGACGAGGCAUGCUCUCGAAAACCAUCCGCGCGUCGACCAUGCUCCCACACUUUGAGUACAUGGUACUUGGCUGCUCCCCACGAAGAUAUCUCCACAGCAGUGGCUUUUCACAGCUCCAUCGUGAACAGCGAGCCCCUUUUCCAGGCUCUUCGUCUUCACCAUCUUUUGGUGGCCUCCUCUUUCACUGCUAGAUUCGCACAAGCCUUGGCAGCAGCAACGAAAGUCCAAGACUUUGGCGAGCAGUCCAUUUUCCCAAAGAACUCGAGAGCGACCUCACUUUCUCCAUUCUCUACGUAGCCCAGUAUCAACGCGUUCCAGGAGACCACGUCUCACUGUGACAUCUCAUCGAAGACCGAUCGAGCAUCGAGCAUGAUGCCGCACUUAGCUCGAGAGGAAAACGUCUUCGCUGCAAGACGGUCCCAUCUGCUUGGCUUGAGAAUGGAUGCCUCUGCCGGUCUCGAGACUAGCCUCCUUGACGAGCUUCCCAUCGACCAAAACAGCGUCUUCCUUCGCCGCGAGGCUGCUACAAGCCUUUGCCGCGUCCUGGAGUUUGGCUUGCAGCCCGACCGCCUGGCUUGCAUCCUCUCGAAGAGAUCCAGAGCCACAUCACUCUCGCCAUUGGAGACGUAGCCCAGCAUCAAGGACAUCACGUUUGGGUGAAGAAUGCUGUGGAACAGUCCUCCAUGCUGCCGCAUUUCGCGUACGUUUUUCGUCCACCAGCGCAUUGACAACAAGCUGCUUGUUCUCCGCCGCCUGGCCGUGGAUCGCCCAGGCGCAAAUUGCCCUUGCGCAAAUCCCUUGUGACCUUCAACGCCGACACCUGCUGAUCGGGCGCCCGCGGCGGCGCUGCCGAAGGAGCGAAUGCCGGUGCGGCGCAUCGAAUCGCUGCCAUCGCCAAGUCUCAUCCAUCGCAAGAACCCUAAAAAUUUGCUAGCAACAUGGAAAUUCAAUCAAGGCCGUCGAUUCAAGAAUAUCUGACGGUUGGAAAGAAUCGCAAUCCCAGGCUUGUAAGCCGGUGUCCAUCUCCGCUCGCCCUCGGAGUUAAGUCGAUCGGAAACACCGCUGAAAACAGGAACUAUGGCGAUCAAGCGUAAUCGCUCUUAAGACUCUUACCUGUUGAGGCAGCGAUUCCUGCUACUCCACCGGAGAUCAAGCUCGUCACCAUCCUACUCGGGCCCAUAGUUGCCAGAAAACGUAUGAAACUAAAAAAACACCGUUCUAAACUCCCAACGCGUUUGCACUAUUUGUGAAAAGAGACAAAGGUUUCUUUAGGGUUUCUUUAGGGUUUCUUCAGGGUUCAUGUAGUCAUGGCAGGAAUUGGAGGACGCCGCAAAUGCUAGAGCUGGAAGCAUGUGAUAUGAGCAGAGCGGCACUGGACAUGUAAGUAUUGUUAUGAGAUUCACACUGGGGGAGCGGAGCGAGUGCGAGCACAUCUUGCUAGAGUUCAGGCAAGAGGUGUGAAAACGUGCAAGGCAAUGAGGGAGAUCCCUUAUGAAGUUCUUAAAAAACCUCACAGCAGUUUUUCCGAUUUCGAGCUAGCAGACCCAGCAGAUGCCAAUGAUGGGCAUCUGCUGCAGCAAGCCGCACAGGGUUCAGGGGGGCAGCAGAAUCUAUGGUGGCAAGCACGGAGAACUGGUCCAGUGCUGGGACAAGCAGAACAGUGAAACAGCUUUUUCUUUCAUUUGUUUUAGUAUGUUAUUCCGUUGGGUUUUAUAAACUUAAUAUCAGAUUAAAGUGUAUUUAGUAAAUAUUAGUGUUUUUUUAAUCAUUUUAGGCUUUAACAUGUAAAUGUUUGAUUGUCCUGAAAAAAACGUUUUAAACGGCGUUUAAACGUGGACGCGUUUGAACGUUUGCACGUCUAGCUGCAACUAUGCUCGGGCCUGAAAGUAACCAUGCAAUGCCAGGAGGCCUAAGCAUGUCAAAACUGUGUUUACCAAUGCGAUGGUGCUCCGUGCCUGUAAAGCUUUUCCAAAAAUUUCUCACUCUGAAACUAAAAAUAAUCCAACUUUGAGCGUUCCAGUAGUUGUAGAGAGUGUCAUACAAGCAGAAGUUUAUCCCAAUCGUUGGGCCUAUGGCAGGAGUCAAGUCUGUGGCAUUUGGCAGGGAGGAAAACCAAUACCAAAAGUGUCAGUCAGAGUUCCUUAUGAAGGCUAAGAAAGCUCUCCUGUUGAUGGAUUGUGGAAAGCGUGUGAUAGAUGUGGACACACAGCAACAUCUACACGCAAGAGCACAAAAGCUGUAAAGGGAACAACUAACAACAAAGAUCACAAAGCUCAAGGUGAGGAAAUUCAGGAGAAGAUUCCAGACCUGAACAUGUAACCACCUUGCAGGUUCCAAACUGACAGUUGUCAAACCAGUGUAACGUGAACAUGACCCAGCAGGAGCAGUCUCCAGCAUCCCUACCGCACACAGCAACACCAACACAACCAGCUCUCAAUGCUGACACCGACAACAUGCCACAUCACGGCAAACACCACAGUUGAGAGCAUCCCGAGCAAGAGUGAUGCUGCAAGCCUGAGCUUACACUGGAUCUUAAGCUUGGCAUUUCUCCAGUUUGUGGACAAAAUGCAAUGUCUCCAGUCAACACCAUAGAUGCCAAUACCAGCAGAUUUUGCAAGACUUUUCCACGACAAACAGAUGAGCAUUUUCAUAAGAGACAAAGUCCAAUCAACACCUUUGUCUACCAGCCCCUAGAUGUGAAGUUCACGAAGAUCCAGAACCAUAUUCUCCAGCUCAAGAGGAGCAUUCAAGGUACAACUUUCUAGGAAUUUGUAUGCACAAAGACUUAGCACAUGAAUAAAAAACUCCCCAAGGAGAAUGCAGAGCUUCACAAUGAGAUCUGACAACUCAAGGUGAAGCAGCUAUAGGGAUAGGGUGCGCUACAACAGAAGAACAAGUUCAAGAAUGAGCUCUCUGGAGUCAUAGUAGCAAUAAAACAGCCCAAUGCUAUGGAGAAAUGAGAGCUUCAAAAUGAAACUCAACUCAGUUAUGGGAGAAAGUGGAGCAUAGAAAAUCAACAUUAUAUUUAGAAACAUCAUCCUAAGUCUUGAAAUUUAAAUCUUAAGACUCAAGAACAGAAAUGAGUGGCAGUUGCCAGAACUUAUUAAGGAGGUGAGUUAACACUCAAACUCUAUCCCUUUCUUUUGUACUCCAACUUUCCAUCAUCAAUGCACAUCUAUUUGUGCAAAAUCUACAGUACUCAAGUGAUGUUAAGUUUAUCUUUGCUCAUGACUUCAACAAAAGCUUUCAUAGGGAUUGAAGGACUCAAGUCAUUCCUUUUUUACUUUUUAUAUGUUUAUUUGUGUUUAACUGAAGCAAAAUGCAAAAUCAAGUCAAACAAGUGUAGUAGUAAGCAUCCACUUUACUCUUACCUUCUUUUAUCUUUCACUCUUAUUUUCUUUUCCUCUUUCUUUUUUUUCUAGUACAAGCUUUUAGCAUACAGACUUUUACCCAAGUUUCUAGGAAUGGCUUGUUUUAACAUUUAAAGGAAUGAUUGCAAAACAUAUAAAAUUUUAGCAUUUAGAUUGGGAUGGAUAUUUGCCGUUUCUUUGGUAUAUGUAUAUCACAGGGUAUAAAGUUCCAUUGGUGUUUCACUUUAUAAACUUUUAUGUGGUCAUUAUUUGAUAUUACUAAUGGAGUUGAGUUUACCUUCGUGAUUGCUAUAAAGUACCAAUACUAAGUCUUGGGAUCAACAUUUGAUGAGCAUUUUUCCAUUCAUUCAAGUGGAGUUUAUUGAGCAUUUAGGCUAUGUAUAAGUGGGAUAAUAACAACACAACAACUUCCAUCAUCAUCCACCAAUGGAGUAUAAAGUGGAUGAUUUGGUGUUAAUCCAUUUUCCUAAUAUUACAAUACAUGGUUUGUGUAAGGGGCUCUUUAUUCAGUGGAAGAGAUUAUAUUAAGUGUUUUGGUAAGUUAAACUGCAUGUUUAUAAAGCUUGGCAAAACAUUCAAUAAACUAAUCCUCCAGAAAUUAUAUAUAUGCAAUAACUUAAAUGUUUUGUAUAAAGGGAUCAAGCACUACCUAUAAAUCCACCAGUGCUUCCUCCUGAUGUUCCUUUAGAUCCUAGUCUCUCAACCUGAAAACCUUAAUUACCUUUCAUCCUUCUAAAAGAAUAAGAUAAUAUGAGGUCUAAGUGUAUAGCUAUGAUAUUGUAUAUAAAUAUUAGUAUAAUUUUCAAACCACUCACUUUUGUAUAUAAACUAUGGUUUUUGGGCUAAUUAAGAUGCAUAUUUCUAUAUGCACUAAGAGUGCUACUUAAACUAUAAGUGAGGUUAGAAAAUAAACCCUUUUAUGGCAUCUUUCUUAAUAUUAGAUCAAGAGGGUAAUAAAUAACUCAAUGAAGUUAUCAGUCUUUAUAUUUUUUCUUAGUGAAAAUCUUAUAACUUAAUAUACAUAUCUAAUCAAUAUAAUUCAUUGGGAGUAGGUAAAAAUACCAUAAUAUAACUAGUAAAUUUUAGAAAUAUAAUAAAUUUACUUUUAAAUAGGACAGAAAAAAAAAUUAAGUAGAGAAUGGAUAAAAGUGAAAAUACAAGUGAUAGAGAAGAAACCAUUGAUAUUUUAUCCACUUGAAAAGUUCUUCACCACUUAAGAAAUAAUAAGCUUAAAUAGAAUAUUAAUUAUAUAGUAUUUUAAUUCCUUUUGAAAAAAUAAAUAUCCUCAAUGUUUUUAAGGGGAGAAAUUUAGAAGCUGUAAGCUCCUGAAUUUAGACUUCCUAGAAGGUCAUCUAGCUUAGUACUAUUCAAACCCAAGAACACUUAAUACAAAAUAUCCCAAAACUUUUAAUCGAUUGGAAAAAAGGGUACACUCUUAUUUAUAGGCCCUUUCCUUUUAUAUUUGAACCCUAUGAAUUGUCUCUCUCUUUAGUUAUUAAGAAUCCAGUACACUUCUUUGCAAAUUCAUGCCCUUGUGAAUGGAAGUUGAGAGCAAUAGCUUUCCAAAGAGCCCUGCUCUUUUGACACCCUACCCUUUGGGUUGAACCUAGCUGGAGCAAGUUUAAUUUGCCAAAUAUCAAUUAACAUAUAGUGCAAUUCCAUUAACUAACCAACAAUAUAGACCGUUUCUUGAGUCAUUUUUUUUGGUUGCAUUUUAAGUUACCAAAUGGUAUUACUUAAAAAACAAACAAGUAUAUUUCUAGGGGCAAUUUGUAAUGCAUGUGGUUUUUACCUUUUAUCUUAUAGUGAUUUACUAUAAGAUAAAAAUGAAAUGGAACAUAAACCCUCUAUGUGCCACAUGUCAUCCAUAGGACCUUGAGUUUCAGGGCUUUGGGCUAUUAAACAAAAGAAUAAUGGCAAACUCUUAAGUAUGGACCUAAGGAGUGAAGGUAUUAUAGCACAGAGUGACUUGAAACAGUUCUAGAGUAUUUAAUAUCCUAAUGCUAAGACUAACAUAUAAAAUAGAGUCAAAUGGAGUUUAAUAUUAUUUCAACAUACUAAUGGCAUAAUACAAGGAUAUAGGUACUCCAUCAACUAACAUCAUAUGAAACUUAAGCUUAAACUCAAGCCAAAUGCAGAACAAGGACAAACACGCAAGCAAGAGUUAGAUUAUACCUCAAGUUAACCAGCCAUGCCUAAUCUACCCACUAUCCUUAUUAUAUAUAUGGAACCCCCUAUAGCACCGAGCUAGAGCUUGUAGAGGAACGUCACCUUUUGUGCCACUUCUUGCCCGGAGCUUUUGUCAAGGUCUCCUUCCAGGCUCUCCACAAGAUAUGACAUAUGGUAUGCUUGAACCUGGCUGGGAAAGAGCUUCACCACCUCCGUGACGUUCAAGUAGUGAGUAUGAACCUCUUGGAGAAGGUGAUGGAGCAUCGCAUACGCGAUGGUGAUGCCGUCGUGUGUGCUGGUUCCUCUUCCCAGCUCGUCGAUGACUACCAGCGAGCGAGAAGUUGCCUUGUGGAGAAUAGUUGAAGCUUCACUCAGCUCCUCGAAAAACGUACUGGAGCCCCUCUGGAUUCUGUCCAUCGCCCCUAAACACGGCAUCGAAUACAUGCAGUUUGGCUGUCGCGGCUGGAACAUACGAUCCUAUCUGCACGAUAACAAAACAUACGGAGUGAAAAGAAAUAAAGAUAGUUGCGAACCUGGGACAUGAUUGUGAUUAGAGCAACUUGACCGAUGUAGCAACUUUUACCACCCAUUUUUGGACCAGUGAUUAUUUGCGAUCGUUCACCCUCACCAGAAACAACUGUGUCAUUUGGUACAAAUGCAUCUUGCAGAGUCGAAUCUAGGACCUGCUCACGGAAAGACAUUCCAGUAAAAAUAUUAAACGACAAGAGCAAAAGAAACAAACCGGAUGUCGACCACCUUCUAUCUUCAAAAGGCACGCUUCAUCCACGAACUCCGGUCGAACAUACCCCUGAAGCACAUUUUUCAUUCAGAUAAGCGUUGAAAAACACAAGGAGACAGACCUGAUUGCACGAGACAACAGCAAGGGAAUCAAGACAGUCGAGAGCUGCUAGUGCCUGUACUGCAGCCCGGAACUCCAUGUGAUAGGAGGUAAAGUCAGUCAGGAACAUGUCCCAUGCUUUGGCGCAAGAUAUAUUUAAUUGCUCCUUUGCAAGUGCCAUUCUUUCCGAUGCUUCCAAGACCUCCGGAGGAUGAUAGCGGUUUGCCUUUUUCGUACUGUUUAUUUUAACCCAAUCUGCAGGUACACGCUGCGCACAUGGAACCUGAAACUACAAGCUUUUAGCAAUCAAAUAACUGAAUUGAGAAAAAGAAAGUACCUCGACCAAAAACGACGUUCCCGAGACGCUCAAGUAUUCCAGAUUUGAACACUUCCAACAGUUUCCGAUAACUGGGAAGAAAACUUUCGAGAUCCUCCUCAAUACUUUUUAUGGUCUCUUUGCAUUCGUCUACCUGAAGCACGACUUAAACGAAGUCUGGGAAACGAUAACAAACCUCGGGAUACUGGCCGGCAACAAACAAGUUAAUCUUAUCCCCAGCUGCUGCUGCCUCUGCAUUCAAACUUGUCACAAGCUUGUUUGCGUGAUCUAUCACUGAAGUUGAAGUCACUGCGGAGAUUAGCCUGCUGAGGAGCGCAGACCUGGCGUCGCGAACCCGUUGAAACUGGGACGCUGCUUUCAUAAUCGCAUUAAUCACGUUAAUGAACUGCAGCAAACAUUACGGUCAGAAAAGAAUAACAAUCAGGAUUACAGAAAAGGAAAGGUACCUCAUACGUUGUUGCUGUUUUGUGAUAAAUUCUUGUGAUACCACGCUCAAGAUCAGGCAAUUUUCCCAGCAGCAACAACGUUGAAGCUAAAGUUGCAACUGUUGUGCCUCUGCCUUUAUCUCCAAUGGAUUCGGCAAUUUCCGCAACGGCGUCUAAACGUUGAGAAAUAAGCAUGCGGUCUCUUAACGGAUGGGCCACCUGAAAAUAGACAUGAGUGGAAAAAACGAAAAAUCCAAGAUUGUGACUGAGACCAAACUCCUUACCCAAUACUUAAGCAGCCUCGCGCCAAAAGCAGUUUUUGUGUGGUUCAUAAGCCAGAAUAAAGAUCCGUUUUCAGUACCAUCAGUUUGGUUAUGUAGAAUCUAGAAAGAAAAAACUUGUUACUGGUAAGUAAACAUCGCAUUCAGUGGUUACCUCAAGCUGGCGGAUGGUGUUGGGCGAGAGCGUCAUCUCUUGCUGCCCGGCAAAUGGUCGGAAAAGAGCUCCUAAGCGCAAUACAUUUUCCAGAUUAAACUGCUUCAGAUAAGCAAAUAUAUGCGCAAACGCAGCAACCACGAUUUCUGGCAUCGUCAUCAACGCCUGCAAACUUCAAUUCUCAUCCGAUAGUGUAAUCAAGACAACUAGAAAAUUACCUCUAACCCUGCAUCAACCUUCUCGUCCAGACAGCCUUUCUUAGAAGACGCCAAGCUCCCGUAGAAGUCCGCAAGAGCAGCAACAGUACCGCCAUUUUCAAACGAGUUCUCAGGCGUCUUCUCGGCUCGAACAUCCGCUGCGCCUGCAUAGUCCAUCAACAACUAUACAAAAAUCACCAUCAUUCAUAUACAACCCGAUCAGAGAAAAGAAAACAGCUUACCUUCUUUGUAGAAGUGGACAAGGACGCAGAUAAAAGAAGUUCUGCGGGAGCACACGCAAGCAACCGUGAUUCCAGUUCCGUCCUGGUGACAGUGUCCAUAAAGUGACCGUACAUCACGUCUCCGGUCGAGGUUUCCACGGCCACCACCCCAAAUCUAGCAUCAAAACUUCCCUUCACUUCAUCCUUUCCAGCGUUGGCCUUGUGCUCGGUGAUUGCCUCCUCCACAACACACAUGAUAUAGCUGCUAAGACGAAUAGGUCCAUCCCUUUCCCCACUCUCUUCUCCCCCAAGAAACUCGCCCGCCUCGAGCGUGGCCUUGGUAUAUAGCGCCGAGAGAUCUCUCGAGAACGGGCCAGCCUUGUUCGUCCCGUGAGCUUUGAUAGCCGCUGUCUCGGUCUGCUUGACAACGCCAACUUUGUAGCCAGCUUCCACAAGCCUUCUCACAUGUACGUGCAACCGGAACGUUGGAACGCUGGCAGUGAGAAAGCUGUGGCUGUAGUAAGCAACGAUUCCCAAAACAUUGGCUGCUUUCUCCGCAUCCUCUCCGAAAAAUCGAAACUUGUAUCCCACCUCGACCAUGAGAAGGAUGUCAGGGAAUUUCUUCUUGAGCUCCACAAUCUGCUGCUCCAGAGGAGUAAGCUUCUCCUUCCCUGACGGUGGCUUUCCAUAAAAGGAGGAAUUUCCACCACCGCCAUCUCUGUCCCCCUCUCCAAGAAGAACAUCUACAAACUUUCUACGCCUGUCUUUAAUCGCUUCCCCCGAUACUCCGCAAUCGGCAUCCUUCCCAUCGCCCAACCCGGCGUCUACAUCUAAAUUCAAGCACCGUUUCUUACUCGCGCUGGCCGCAUUCUCGGCUGAUCGCCUGAGAUGAUGCGGCGAUGGCCACACUAGUGUGGGAGCCCGCAAUGCAUCGGUCUCACCUCGCUUGAAGAAGCUGGGGAUGAUCGCCUGGCCCUUGGCGGCGGCAGCGCCCUCGUCCUUCUUUCUCUUUCCCAUUCAAAAACUUAUAAACCCUAAGAUUCUUUCUUCAAGCCCAACAAUUACAGUCACCACCCCAAAUCUAUGCUUGAGGCUAAGGAGUUUCUGGGAGGAGAAGAGGGCGGUGAAAGAGAUGGACCAAUUUGUCUUAGCAGCUGGGUGCUGGCUUUGGUAUAUAGAGCCCAAGAAAUCGAGAAUGGGCCAGCCUUGUGUCUUGGUACGCCAACUUUGUAGCCAACUUCCACAAGCCUUCCCAUACACACAACUGGAAUGAGAAAGCAGCCAAUUUUCUUAGAAUUUGUUUAUCAUAGCCACAGCUUUCUCACUGCCAGCGUUCCAACAUUCUGCCACAUCCUCUCUAAAAAAUUGAAACUUUGUAUCCCACCUCAACAAUGAGAAGAGUGUCUAGAAAUUUCUUCCUGAGCUCCACAAUCUGCUGCUACAGAGGAGUAAGCUUCUCCUUUCCCGACGGCAACUUUCCAUCACAGGAGGAAUUUCCAUUGGAAGCAUCCUGUCCCCAAUAACAUUUACAAAAUUUCUAUACCUGUGUGCUUGCAAGAGGAUUUAGAUGUAGAAGCCAGGUUGGGGUAUUGAUUGGCUGCGUUCUCAGCCGGUCGUUUAAGAUGACACAGUGAUCAUUCUUGAAGAAGCUGGUGGCCGCAGUGCUUAGUAUAUUUAUUAUAAGAUUCUUAUAUUAUUUUAUUAGAAUAAUAUUAUUUGUAGGUGAACCAUAUAUUAUAGCUUACUUGCUAAAUCUGAGAGGGAGAUGGAAACUCUUUGGCUAAUUAUUUUCCUGUUGCAUUUGUUAGUUAUUGCAAGAGUGAAAUUUCUGCAAUAUUUAUCUUUGGAGACUCAUUAGUAAAUUAUAGAAAUAAAAUUUACAUUUUAAACACUUAUGCAAAGGUUAAUUUCCUCCCUAUGGAAGGAAGUUCCUUAGUGGAGCAAUAAGGAGAUUUUCAAAUGGAAAUCUUAUUCUUGAUGUUAAUAAAGUGUUUAAAUUUGUUCAUUUGCAACUUCAUAUUUAAAUCUUCAAUUAAUUUAACCAUUUUUGUCACCCACAAAGAACAUAUAGUAAGGUGUAAAUUAUGGAAGUGCUAGAUUUGGAUUGUUUAAUAUUAUUAAAGUUUGUUUAAAGAUAAUUCAUUUAAUUUUUUAAUUUUGUGUCAAAAGAAUCUUUCCAAGCCAAAAUUAUCCAUGACCUAUCUAUCUACAAGUGAAAAAUUUCAUUGAAGAUAAACAUAUACUUAUAUCUCAAAUUGGUCUAAAUGCAACACUAAACAUCAUAAACAAUUCUAUAUUUUACAUAACAUAUGGAUCUAAUGAUAUAAUUAAUAAUUACUAUGAACUUGAUUCUUUUUUGCCAAGUUAAUACAAAAUCUUAGAGUUUAUUGAUAUUUUGAUGCAACUUUAUGAUACUCAAAUUCUGGUAAACAUAAUUCAUAACUUUAAACUAUUAUACAACCUCUUUAUUUAUGUUAUAGAUCUUGUAUCAAGAAAGAACAUGCAAAAUUGUAGUUGCAUCCUUAUUUUCAUUAGGUUGUAGCACUCUUUUUUAUCAAACACCAUUAACUAACUUGCAAAGUAGUAAACCAGUUUAAUUACAAACUUAAUUUAGUCUUAUUUUAUUUUAGAUUAAAUUUACUAGGACUUAAUAUUUUUUAUGUAGACUCUUACACUAUAUUACUUGAUAUUGUUCAAAAUCUUCUAUCAUAUAGUAAAUUUGUAUUAAAGAAAAAUACUUUAUUGAUAAAUUUUAAUCAUGAAAAAUUGUAAUAAGCUUCACAAUUUUUAAUGUUGGAUGUUGCAACUUUAUAGAACCCAGUUAAAAUACUUUAGUGACAGAAUAUUUACCCUUGAUUUCAUCUUGUUUAGAUCUAAAAAAGUAUAUUUAUUGGGAUCAAUUUUAUCUUACCUCCAAAAUUUAUAACAUGCUUACUGAUUUAUUUUGAAUGAAAGUGAUUAUAUAUAUUCUAUUAGCAUCUAGCAAUUAACUUCUAUAUAAUAAAGUUUAAUACAAAUUUUUAUUCGUCUGAUUUUAUUUAUAAAAUAUUAUAAUAAAAUUUUAAACUGAAGUUUUUAAAAGUAAUUUAUAAAUAUUUUAAAUACUUUAUUAUAAUAAUAUUUAUGUAUAAUAUUUUACUUUAGAAAAAUAAAUAACUAGCAAUACAAACAUAUGAAUUAAUCAAGUUUAGAUUAUCUGAUUUAGAUUUUUUAGGAAUUUAAAGAUUAUUUACUAAUUUAAGAGCAUUAGAUUAUAUAUAAAAUAGUUUUACUUAUAUUUUCUUCACCAUUACUGCUGCUAUAGUUUUAAAGAUAAAAUAAUCUUUAAUUUAGGUAGUGAAUUGAAUAAAAAAUAACACUAUUCUUUCAUAGAUAUAAAUGUUUUUUAUCACACUAAAUUAAUAGUAAACAUUUCUUCUAUAAACCCUAUACAAUGUUUUACUAUCAAAGUUCAUUUAAUUAAAUUUAUUUUAAAACUUUUGAAUUCAGCUAUAUCAAGUUAUGUAUAUAUUGGAUUUUACUUAAUUAAUCUUUGGUUUUUCCUUGAUUUUAGUUAAAAUAAAUAUAUUAGUAACUGUUCAUUAUAUAAAUGGAAAGAAACUAUAUUUUGUUGUUUAAAUUUUUAUUACAAUAGCUUGAAACAUCUUAUUACAAAAAUUUGAAAUUUCUAUAAUAGAAUUUGGAUCAGUUAAUUCUUUGAAUAAUAAAAACAUUUUAUAAAUAGAAUUAUUUACGAUAUAAUCUUGAAUAAAUCCUAAUGAAUAAUUAAAUAAUAUAUUAACUAUUUAUUUUCAAAAAUAUUCCUUACUUAAUAUCACAUUCUAGCCCUAAUUGUUGUUUAACAUAUAGAUUUUGCAACAUUUGUGGUUGUUGUGUUUUUAUUUUAUUUAAGUUAAAAACUUUGGUCUCUUUUCUCAUCACAUGUUGGUUCUAGGAUGGCUAUCUUUUUCAGGUCACCAUAGCUUCCCAAGAUGAGGUGGUAACAUUUCUAACAUGGAUUAUCAAGCAAAGUUCUUCUACCAAUUAUCUUGGAUCCAAAAUCCAAAAGUUUCUAGCAUGGAUUAUCUUAGAUCUCAAGCAAAGUUCUCCAAAACUUUCUAGCAUGGAAGAGAUUUAGGUGGUGGAAGAAGAAAGGAUGUAUGUGUAACCUCCCCCCAUUCUCUAGGCUUUGAGUCUGCGACUGGGAUCACUGCUAGCACACGUGGUUCUUGUUGGAUUCCAAGUCUAGAGAUCCUCGUCUUGCUUACCAAAUAUCUUGACGUCCCCGAUCAAUCACAAGCUCCACCUGGGUUUCCAUUUAGAGAUGAAACAAAAGUUUGUAAAGCAGCGAAGUCCAUUUUGAUCUUCGUCACGAACUUGUCUUCCGAGAACUAAGAGCCUGUCAAGCCUCUCACGAGUUACAAUUCUUCACAGGGAAAAAAGAAAGAAAACACAGCUCCACCUUGAGUGCCUAAACCACGAACAUUGCUCAUAGUUACUCCUCGAAUUCCAACUCUCAGCAAUGCUUGAUUGAAAGAACAAAAAGCUUGAAUAAAAAAAACCUUGAAUCCUUGAGAGUUCUUACCCUUGAUGCUUGGGAGUCUCCAAGGUCUAGAAAAAAAGGAGAGAGAAGCAAAGAAAUUGGUAUUACUGCGUUACCAGUCAGAUCCGAGCUCCAAAGAAUCCGUCCACAUCCUCUAUCCUCACAAUCCAAAAGAAAAGAGAAAGAAAGCUCAAACCUUUCUGCAGCAUGUUAAGAUGUGCUAUGCGACCCUUGAGCCGGGUCCUCCUUGAAACCUGAAUAAGCCAGCGGUGACCUCAUCUAUCCCUGCCCUCUACAAAUCACACCCAAUGGUGUGUGGGACGACUGGCCUGCAUCGCUCGGUCUUAGCGGCCAAGAAGAUUUCCCAUUUAGCCCUAAAUUGUGACACCUCUUCUUCUCGUGAUCGAUCUGGCAAUUGGAUGAUUUUAGCUGACUCAUUCAUUUUGACAGCUCAUUAUUGAGCCACCUGAGGCAAAUGAUAUACACUCACUGAGGUAUAGAAGUAUCUGUGCUGAGAAUUUUAGACUCUAUGAUCAGAACUUUGGAUAUAAAACUAUUCCCAUCCAAAGGUUCUACUUGAUCAAUCAUCAUGGAUAGCAUAUGAUUUUCCUCCAUUCUCACUGUUCCUUCCUUAAUAUUGAACCACUGAAUUUUAAAAAUAAUUCUCUUGAAUUAUCUAAAGUUUACCUCAUAAAUAUCCAUUAAUGUACCUGUUUAAUAUAAAAGUUAUAAAAAACUAACAUAGAUAAAAAUACAUACCUGGAAAAUCAAUAUGAGGUUGUUGUGGAUUCCUUAACGUAAUUAUAAUGUUGUCCAUUGUUUUCUUAUUUGCAUUGAUUUGAGAAACUCUAAAAUGCUUUCCAUUAAUCUAAUAUACUGUAUAACUCAUGGCCUAAAAUUUAAAAGUAAUUAAUAAUUAAUUAAUAUUAAUUAUGACUUUGCAUCCAUUACCCAAGUCCUUAAAAAAGUUUGAUCCAUUUCCUCUUCAAUUAAGCAUAUAUGUAGAGAAAUAUUUUCAUGCUCUUCUUAAUUAAGUUGAAUUUGUUUUCCUAAAUGCUACAAUCGAAUACUAUUAUAAUCAAAUGGUAUAAACUGUAAAAUAUUAGUUACCAAAUUAGCACUAAAAUAUUAUGCAUACAAAAACUCUCUCUUAAUAGUAGACCUUACACUAUAGAUCUUCAAGUUUUGCUUUUUGUCUUACCAAAGAUUUUAAAACUCUUAAAUAACACUUAAUAAAAAAUAUUUUUUAGCUAGUUCCAAGACCAACUAUCUAACUCAUCAAUUAAGUGUACUAAUAAAUAUACUUGUGAUGUCAUAGCUGUUGUAAAUAAUGUUGCUUCCAAUAAACACACAUAAAUGAUAGACUUUUCUUUCAUAAUAGGUAUCAAAGAUUUAUCUACUUCUUGAGCAGUUAAAAAUCUAAUUAAAAUUAAAAUUAAUUGAAUUCAAAAAAUUAAAUCAAUUAGUACCAUACAACUUCUCCAAGAAAAUAUUGCUUCCUGUAAAUGAGGUGUUAUCUUUCCUAUUAUAAAAAUGAGAUAAACAUCCUACUAAAUAUGUUAAUUAACAUUUUAGUAAAUUUAGAAACUUACUCAUAGUAAAUGAAGCCAAUUUUUUUCAUACCUAUUAACUUACCUUUCUCAUCAACAUAAUUUAAAAAUUCAGUUCCAUAUGUUGUAAGAACUUUAAAAGCCUCUAUAUUAUUAAUAAAUAAUUUAUUUUGAUAACUUGUUAAUGUCCAAGUUCCAUGAUCAAUUUUUCCAUCACGUCACACCACAUAUUUUACUUUAUUCUACACACAACUAAGUCUUUUCUAGUAUUUAAUUCAUCAUUUUUGGUAGUAAUAGUUUUAUAUUUAGUUUCAAAAACAUUCUUAAAUAUGUGCAUAUAAUCUUUUAAAAAUGCUACUGGCAACUUAUAAAAAUAUGGAAGUUGAUAAAAUGUGAAUAUAACCAUUUCAUACCAUUAGGUAAUGAUAUUUGAUCUUCUUGUCUAACUAAAUAAUAUAUGUUGCCUAUUGUUCAGGAGUCAUUUGUGUUAGUAUUGGUCAAAUAUAAUUAUGACCAUUAAAUAAACUAAUAAAAAUUAGAAUUUAAUUUAUGUUUAGAAAUAAUAACUAAAAUCUUACAUUCUAUUAGUAGACUUAAAUUGAUGAUCCAUAGGUAAGAGACACCAAUGACCAAUAUAUAUGCAUUUUUAUAAACUUUGUGACUAUAUUCCAAGAAUCCAAGUCCAUAGUCUAGGUAAAAGUAUUUUCCCAUUAGUUUGAAGUCCUGAACAAAAUCAUAAUCCAGGAAAAUCAUGAAUAAACUAUCACACUGCUUCUCUAAGCUUAAAUCACCCUCUAGCUUAAAAUUAUCUUUGCAUGGCACUCCAUCCCAUAAUUGUUUCAACUCUUCCAAAAAUAGGGACCAAUAAAUAUUAGGUACCUUAGGAAGUUUUUGGCCUAGAAAAAUUAUAAAUAUAAAUAUUUCAUUUUAUUUUUUAGACUAAUACCUGGUAUAAUCAUAAUAAGAAAUAUAAAUGAAGGCUUAAUUGCUAGAGUUGGUGGUAUAUUAGUAUUAACUACAACAAUUGCCUAACAUGAAUAUAUUUUUGCCAUUAAUUUUGUUGGAGAAAGAUUAUUUGCAACUAUAGUAAGAUGUAUAUUUCUUGGAUCUACUGCAAAAUUUGGGUAAAUAAGUUGAACCAUCUGCAGGCAUUCUCAUUAUUCCAUUAGUGGAUUGAUGAUAAAAUUAUAAGUUAUAUAUUUUUUUUAUUUCUCUACAUUGAAAUUAUUAUUGAAGUCAAGGUAUAAUAGAGAAAUAGUGCAUUAUUUUCUCAGGUAUAUAAUUGUUAAAAUCUUUGUGCUUGCUAGCAAUAGAAAUUUGACAAAAUUGAAGGUCCUUAUUCUCCUUAUGAAAUAACAUAAAAUCAUUGAUGCAUGAAUUAAUCUUUUUUUAGGUAAGUCCAUUAUGUUUAAUGAUAUUUUCCACUUCCUUAUAUAUAUUUGAAACAUUUUAUUUGUAGGCAACAUUUUCUUGAAGAGCCUUCAUC
This 49884-nucleotide long non-coding RNA is filed under the name Selaginella moellendorffii. RNAcentral's name for it is "long non-coding RNA (SMOE_LNC001433)". The record is from RNAcentral. Lineage: Eukaryota; Viridiplantae; Streptophyta; Lycopodiopsida; Selaginellales; Selaginellaceae.